This 67653-nucleotide long non-coding RNA is filed under the name Ananas comosus (pineapple). RNAcentral's name for it is "long non-coding RNA (ACOM_LNC015557)". Lineage: Eukaryota; Viridiplantae; Streptophyta; Magnoliopsida; Poales; Bromeliaceae. The record is from RNAcentral.
AUAUAUAUUACCUACAUUAGUAAAACUAGUUAUUGAUCUUUCUUGCAGCAGUAUCUUUGUUUGAAGUUCGAAAAUAGAUUAGCUAUUUCAAUUCAUGUAUAUGUUGCUUAUAAGUUUGAUAUCUCUCUAGGCACGAAAUUGUAGGAGUUGUCCAAGAGGUCGGUUCAGAUGUUGAACGCUUCAAAGUUGGUGAUCAAGUUGGAGUUGGAACUUACGUUGACUCGUGCAGAGAAUGCGAGUAUUGUAAUGUUUUUCGAGAGGUCUAUUGUGUGAGACCCGCGACAUUUACUUAUAACAGGCCCGACUCGGAUGGCACCAUCACUAAAGGUGGAUUUUCCAGCUACAUAGUGGUCCGCGAGAGGCAAGUAACUUCCCAUGAGCUAUAUAUGUACUUUCUCUGAGGUAUUUUUAUAGUAUCUUGAUGAUACGAGCACCUGUGUAAGCAAAUAUGAAAAAUAGUAAUCAAAAUUAGAAGUUCAUAAACAAUCUUUAACUUCUCUGGGAUGAUGCUGUUCAUCUUCUAUUUGUUAUUUAUUUUUUUAGAACUAAUUGUUCUAUCUACACAUAAUUUGCUACCAGAACUUGAUAAAUUCAUAGUAUCUAUUUGCAAACAUUUUGAUAAUGUGCUUUUUUUUGUCCUGUUACAGGUUUGUUUACAAGAUACCUGAUGGGUACCCAUUAGACAAGGCGGCGUCAUUGUUAUGUGCGGGAAUUACAGUGUACGCACCGAUGAUGCGCCAUAAAAUGAACCAACCUGGCAAAUCUCUUGGGGUGAUCGGGCUCGGUGGGUUGGGUCAUAUGGCUGUUAAGUUUGGAAAGGCUUUCGGAUUGAAAGUAACUGUUUUAAGUACAAGUGACUCUAAGAGGGAGGAAGCCAUUAAAGUUCUUAAAGUGGAUGAAUUUGUGGUAUCAUCAGAUAAGCAGCAGAUGGAGGUGAUUUUUCUCUUAAAUAUUUUCUUAGAAUUAAACUCUUUUCGUGGUUAACUCCAUGAUUUAGUUGCUUUAACUGCAAGUUUGUAUGAAAUUGUUUGAUGUUCCAAACUUCUAAUUACUUCAUUACUUUGUAGUCUCUGACAAAGUCCUUGGACUUCAUUGUCGAUACUGCUUCCGGUGACCACCCAUUCGAUCCCUAUCUUUAACUCCUGAAGAUCGAUGGUGUUAUGGUCUUGGUGGGCUUUCCUAAUGAAAUCCGAAUCAGUCCCCUGAGCCUCAAUUCCGGUAUUUCUUUUUCUUUCCCUUUUAUAAUUACGAUAAUAUCUCAAAAACCAUCCUAAACUUCAUGUACACGUAAAUCAUGUUUAAUUUUUUUUCUUUUGUUUUUUUUUGGUAGGUGCGAGAUCUCUUGCGGGGAGUGUGGCGGGUGGUACCAAGGAAACACAAGAGAUGAUAGACUUUUGUGCAGCAAAUAAAGUGUACCCAGAAAUCGAGCUCAUUAAUAUUGACUACAUCAAUGAGGCUCUUGACAGGCUUACUAAGAAUGACGUCAAGUAUCGUUUUGUUAUCGACAUUGCGAAAUCUCUCGAGUGAUGAUGCUAAGUCUAUAUGUACCCACAUAGCUGAUUAUUUGUGCUUGUUAAGAGAGUGUAAAUUGUUAUUUUGAUUGCAUUGCAAACUUCUAUUCCCUAUUAAUAUAAAUUUUUGAUGUCUUUUUUAUGAGUUUAAGUCAAAUUUGUGUUUGAAUGAUCUUUGAUUGUGUUAUGUUAUGUUCAAAUGCAGUAGGAGUGGAGUUUUAAAGCUCGAAUCUAAUUAUAGAUAUGCGAAUACCUUUUGUAAUGAAUUGUGUUAUACUCACUUAUUUUAUAGCUAUAUGCUAAUCUUGUACUAACAGGAAUGCCAUUUGAAUGAAGAACAAUUAUAGAAGUAAGGAAGUUCUUGAUUGGAAUUUACAGUGGAUCUGAAAUGGGAUCAAUCGCAGAUGACUAGAAGGUUAUCUGUUGUUUUCCGGAUCAAUGCAAUCAGGUAUGACGGCGGGUAAGGUCAGUUACUCAAAUGCUUUAGUAGUUAAGUUAGUUAAUGUGGCAAAAUUUGAUCUGUAUAUUUCCAAACAAUAUUUUGUAGGAAAAGUUGCAUGAUUUUCCAAUUAAUAGGUAAGUUGCACUUCAAUUUUGUUUGUUCAUUUUUUUUCUUUUGUUUUUUUAAUGAACAAUUGAAUUAUUUAUCCGUUCUCCCUCGGCUCAUUAAGUUAAACAUGCGUUAUAUUUGGUACUUCAGUUAUCUUUUUGAUAAACAGAACUAAUGAAUUAAUGAAGUUCAACCAUUAUUGUUGGAAUUGAACUAAAACUGCUGCAGCUAAUUACGGUACUCAUGCGGAGUAUGUUGUGUAAUAUUGAGUAUUCAAGUUCCAUUGACUAUGUUGAUCCCGUCCGAAUCAUUCCAAGCCAUAACUCCAGUUAAUGAUGGUUCAAUCUUUAAGAGCCAUUAGAGGUUUAUAAUAAACCAUUUAGCAGAAAAGGAUUCGUUAGUUAGCGUAAACAAAAAGAACUGUAGUAUAAGAUCAUCUGAUACUUCUAGUGGAUAAAAGGGUUGAUUGCAAUCUGAUACUAUACUCCACUUUAGAUGUUUAGUAUUAGUAGUGUUUGCAUCGUCAUCAUCAUCAUAACAAACUACUUAUUCUACUGCAUCUGAUCCAUUCAUAGUUGGCAACUUGGCAUACCAAACAGUGAGUAACCUAUCGAAAGGAACCAAUGCUUUGUCCAUCAUUCUACUUGUCCUUUAUAUCCUUCUCUAUUCCUCUACACCCUUUUUAAGUGACCGAAAAAGGGUUCCUCUGUAAUUGUUCAAUGAGUCGAAACUCCACCUGAGCACCAUAUUUUGUUAUUACUCUAUGCAAACAACUUUUAUGUUCCAUCUAAUAAAAGCAGUGAGAAAGAAACCAAUGUCCAGCUGUUGCCGAGAUGAGCUUUCUUAAGGCCUCUGCCCCCUACACUGGAAUGAUCACCAUUCAAUUAGUCUAUGGUGGUUCAAACAUUCUUAGCAAGAUAGCCUUGGAGCAUGGGAUGAGUUUUCUAGUGUUCGUCGUGUAUCGGCAUAUCAUUGCGACGGCCAUCUUAUCUCCUCUUGCGUAUUUCCUUGAAAGGUUUUCGCCACCAUCUGUGUCCUUUUUGGCCAUGUGGCCAUGUUGGAACUUCUGUCAAAAUGCUAUUUGAGUAGAGUUGCUUAAAAAAGUGGCAAUAACUUUUUUUUUCUCAUUUUUAUUUGAAAAUUCCUCCAUAAGUGUUCAUUUCAGCUUUUUGCCAAUGCAAAAACUCUAGAUUUUCUUAGCUGCUGCUUUUCGGAGUAGAGAAAAUAUUCUAAAAAAACAGGUCAAACCGGCUGCUAACGCAUAUUACGAGUUCUAUCAUCACUCCAUUCUCAAGAAAAUAUAACCCUUUAAUGCAGGAACGAGCGGCCUUCGCUCUCAAUCCCCAUACUUAUGAAAAUCUUCAUUCUCGCACUGUUUGGGAUUACAGUACAUCAAAAUGUCUACUACGCAGGGCUGGAUCACACAUCACCGAUGGUGGCGAGCGCCUUGAGCAAUGUCAUUCCGGCUCUCACUUUCCUUCUCGCAGUCCUCUUGAGGUUAGAGUCCCCUAACAUUCUCCAAACUAUAAAUUUUCGUGCGCAUUUCUAAUAUCAAAAGCCUUAUUUUCUCUUUUUGUUUUCGCGAGGAUGGAGAAGGUGAGAAUAAGAAGUGCAACAGGAGGGGCCAAGUUGAUAGGCACCAUAUUUUGUAUUAGUGGGGCUUUAGUUUUUACAUUUUGGAAAGGGCCUUUAUUUAGGGGCUUUGUUAAGAGACCUCUAAUUGUUGUGCAUGACCAUGGAAAGGUGCAUGGUAAAGAGAAUUGGAUCCAAGGUUCUCUUCUUAUUCUAGCCAGCCAUAUUGCUUUUAGUGUCUGGCUCAUCCUUCAGGUAAUAGAAAAGCUCUUUUCUGCUGCUUUUUUUGAUCUAAAAUUUUGAGACGAGCGAAUGAUUUUGCAGGCGAAGGUGUACGAGGUCUAUCCCGCAAGAUUGUCAAUGAACGCCUUGAUUUGCUUCUGCGCAUCAUUUCAAUCGCUGCUGCUCGCCCUAAUCUUCGAGAAGAACACAUCAUCUUGGCAAUUGGGCUGGAACAUGCAGCUAGUAACCAUCAUCUACUGUGUUAGUCCCUCUCAUUCCUAUGAGUAUUAGAUUAUAUCUUUCACUAUUAGCUAGUAUUGAUAUUUUAUGUACAGGGGACAGUGAUAUCCUGCCUCUCAUACUACCUGCUAACAUAUUGUAUUAGUGAGAGGGGCCCUGUUUUUGCUGCCAUGUUCACUCCCCUGCUUCUUGUCAUUGUUGGAAUAUUCUCGGCCGCGUUCUUCGCCGAACGACUUCAUGUAGGCAGGUGAGCAAUCAAAUUUAGUUCAUUUCCUUUAUGUUUCCACAUUCCCUUGAUAUUAUGGUUUCAAGUGCACAUGCUAUCUUAACUAAGAUUAGACGAUACGAGCUAACGAUAACCUGCGAGCGUAUGCUCUGAUAACAGCUGCAGUCCUAAUAAGAUCCUCUCAUAGAUCUUGGCAUCUGUAUUAAUACUUUAGAACUACUGCUUGCAAUGAUACUAGUAAUUAAACUGGAAUUUUUGCUGCUGUAAAUGUUUUGUAGCUUGAUUGGGGCCUUCAUCAUAAUCGCGGGACUGUACUGCGUGUUAUGGGGUAAAAGUAGGGAGUGCGGCAAGAAUGGCGAUAAAAGGCGCGAUGUCGAGAGUACAACAGUCACAGCUGUUCUCCCAGUAUCAACAUCAAACAAUGAUACACAGCUUACACCACAAGAGGGGACAAUUUGAUUACUUUUUGUAUUGAAGGAUCAUAGACAAUCUAUAAGUUACAGUUUUUAGUUUCUAACAUAAUUUUGCAUUUAAAGAUGAACUUAAGCAGCUUGUUGAGAUUAAUUAAUGCCAUUCAUGUAGAAAUUAAUAAGAUGCUUUAUAGCAUACACUUCUAUUGUUGGUGGAGAGUAAUGGUUAAUAAUGAUUAGGUACCUUUUUUAUCUCUCUAAUUUUUCUUUAUAGAAUAUGAUUGGGAAUGUUGAUUGUACUGUUUUCAUUUUCAUUUGUUUACACAAAGAUCUAGUUCUAUAGUGAAAUAUUGCAAUAUUGGUAUCAAAAUAAAUUUAAAAUUUAUUAGUGGGACAACUUGGUUCUCCUAGGUGGAGCUUUUGUAAAAUGAUAUACUAUUUUGGCUAGCACCAGAAAUUAAAAAUAAUUUAACACGCUUCGUGCAUAGAAUGUAGAUACACAUUUUGUAUUUUAAUUUCUACCAUCCACGUAGUGUCAAUAGAUAUGAAACAAAGGGUAGAUAACGGAGUGGAUUGUCCAUUUAUAUUAGGUAAUAACGUAUUUAAACUAUAGACCAUUUUGAGUCGACUAUUAAAUUUUUCAAAAUUUUAAUUUCAUCACUCUACGUUUAUUUGAUUUGAGUUCGUCAAAGUCAAUUUGAUUAUAAAAUUUAAAGCGAUUGUUUAUAGUUGCAAGAAUUAUAUAAAAAAAUUUUACUAAACGCGUAAAGAGAAACAACCCAUAAAUUUUAAAACUGAAGUGUCGUUUGCUGAUACAAAUCAAAUAAAUUAAUUGGUUGGAAGGUAAAAUCAAACUUUGAAAAAGUUGAAUAAUUGACUCAAAAUAAUCUAUAUUCCAUACAAUUUCUGAAUAUUUUGUUAUCUUUACAUUAUUUGAAAUAUUAUAAAAUUUAUUCAUAUUAUUUUAUUCUUUCAAAAAAAAGGAAAAAAAAAUACAGCUUACAAACACACACUUCAUGUGUGCAACACCAACAUAUCCAACUCACUCACUACAUAUUUAUCAUGCAUUAAUCAUGCAUUAAUCAUUUUGUUCUCCUUUGUGGCUUAACACUAAUCCCUACUUCCUUUCUCUUUCAUGUUCAUGCUCACACUCCUCUUCGUCUUCAUCAUCAUCAUCACCAUGCAAACUCUCCGACACGACCUCGAUGUGUAUCCCGGGAUCCUCCGCCGCGCAGCUCCCGCCGACGAGCACGGAGUUGUUCACCGCCUGGUAGUUGCUGUUGGCGUACGCGCGCACCGCGCCGUCGUCGCCGUCCUCGCACACCUCCCCCUGCGUAUCCUGAUCCUUGUGGCUGCAGUAUUGAUUCUCUAGCGCCUGCAGCUUCUUCAUCGUGGCGCCUUUGUUGUCCCCCGCGAUGGUUAUGAUCCUCACGCCCUUCUCGGAGGCGGCAUCCCCGACGUCGAAGGCCGAGAGGCGGUCGGUGAGCUGCGAGAUCGUGUCGUGGACCUCGCGGUCGAGUUUGCGGGCUUCGGCGUCGGAAGAAGCCAUUGUUUGCGCAGGGAGGUUGAGGAGAAGAGGGUGUGGAUCGAGGUGGAUUUACAUACAUAAAUGGAAUGUAUAUAUAUAUAUAUAUAUAUAUAUAUAUAUAUAUAUAUAUAUAUACAUAUGCAUGUGGUUCUUUACUUGGUGAUUAUGUGCAAGUAUAGUAAGAUUGAGUAAUGGAGUGAAUUAAGUAAUUCCAUUAACAAGGUUAGAGGAAAAGGAUAACUUGCACUGUGAGGGCUCCUUUUUUUUUUAUAUAUAAACGCCUGUUUGGUCCCACUUUUGCUUCUACUUUCAGCUACAGUUAUUUAUGAUAUAAUAUUAAAUAAAUAAUAAAAUUUAGAGAUUCUAUUAUAACUGAAAAUUAAAUUAAGAUGUGGAGUCUCCAAAAGUAAAAAUUUAAAAUUUGGAGUUUUCGUUUUUAGGUUUUUCUAAUACAACGCUGUAUUACUACUCAAACAAGAAAUUUUUUUUUUUUUUUUUUUUUAGAGAUAGAUAGUAUGCUACAUGCUUCGUUUAUUUCAUUUAGAAAUAAACUUAGCUAGAAAUGUGAAUCAACUAGAAUUUGAAUUUGGGACCUCGGGUACCAAGCAUCAAGCCCUUUGACAGAAUAAGUAUAUUAUAUCGAGUAAUAAUUUAGAUAUUUUAGCUCUCAUCUAUACCUCUAUACCCAUACAUUAUUUUUCAUAAAAUUCGCCACAUGACAAUUUUUCCUUCACCCCUUGCUUUCUCUCCCCUUGUCAUUCCCUGAUGCUUCGUCUUCCCACUCAUCGCUAUCCGAUGCUUCGUUUUCCCACUGGCUCACUUUUUAAUUAAUGCAUUUAUAUAGUCUAUUGUCAUCUAAACAAAUCGUUUUUACAAGAAAAGAGUAAAAUAAUAUUUCUUCAUACUCUUUUUCUUAUUGAUGUUUCAUGGAAGUCAAAAAAAUUUUAAAUUUUUUACUUCAUCAAUUUUUUGUCUUUUAUAAUAUUAGCCAGCCGCCAUGCGCGGUUAACUUCACUAGUAAUAUCAAAAUUGGCUCUAGAAAUAUUUCUUUUAAAAUAAAAAGUACAGAAGCCGGAUCACACACAAACUAUAAUUUUAUUAAGGACGAAUUAACAAAUAUUACACUUGGAAAUAAUUUGGAUAAACCAAACCAAUGUAACCGAAUUAAAAAAAUUCGAUUUGAUUUGGUUCCAAUUUUACAUACUAUAUAUCUGUUCAAUUUUGAGCCAUAAUGUCUCCUGCUGCACUAUUUAUUUGCCUGCUUGUUUGUGGUGUAUCCAUACAUCUUAUGUGUCAGAUACAAUAUUUUGGAAAUAUCUAUAAACUAUUAUGAAUCCCGUGCGAUUCAAGCUUACUCCUUAUUUUAGAAAAAAAGUGGGACCCACCUCUUCUGUAAAUGUACAAAAUAUAUUUCUUUAGUGGGGUCCACUAAAUAAUAAAGUUUAGCAUAAUAGGAAACAUUUGAACGUUAAUUGAGGAGCCCAUAAAUACUGGGUCUUUUCAAACGUUGCACUAAAAAAUAAUGUUUAGUGGAAUAAGAAAUAUUUGAAAGUUAAUUGACGAGCCCAUAAAUGCUAGGGUGUUUCUAUAUAUGUAACGUUUCACAUAAACACAAUUUUUUUUAAAAAAAAUAUACAAUAAUACAUGUCCAAUAAUUUAGGUAUUUGUUCUUAGGUGUCUUAAAAAAUUAAAUUUGUAUCGUCCGUGUAAUUAAUGCAAAGUCGGUUAUCUCCUCAAGAGACUUCUCGGUUUUUCCCAUCCGCCCCUCCAUCUCCUUCUCUCUCUAUUUUUUUUUUCUUUCGUUCACCUAUUCACGAAACCCACUAAAUAAUAAUGUUUAGCAUAAUAGAAAAUAUUUGGACGUUUAUUGAGGAGCCCAUAAAUGCUAAGUUGUUUCAAACAUUCGCAUUAAAUAAUAAUGUUUAGUGAAAUGAGAAAUAUUUGGAAGUUUAUUGAGGAGCCCAUAAAUAUUGGGUGAUUCUAUAUAUGUAACGUUUCACGUAAGAUAAUGUUUUUUUAAAAAAAUAUAUACAAUAAUAAGUGUCCAAUAAUUUAGGUAUUUGUUCUUAGGUAUUUUAAAAAAUUAAAUUUGUACGCUCCGUGUAAAUAAUGCAAAGUCGGUUGUCUACNAAAAAAUACAGCUUACAAACGCACUCUUUCAAGUGUGCAACACCAACAUAUCCAACUCACUCACUACAUAUUUAUCAUGCAUUAAUCAUGCAUUAAUCAUUUUGUUCUCCUUUGUGGCUUAACACUAAUCCCUACUUCCUUUCUCUUUCAUGUUCAUGCUCACACUCCUCUUCGUCUUCAUCAUCAUCAUCACCAUGCAAACUCUCCGACACGACCUCGAUGUGUAUCCCGGGAUCCUCCGCCGCGCAGCUCCCGCCGACGAGCACGGAGUUGUUCACCGCCUGGUAGUUGCUGUUGGCGUACGCGCGCACCGCGCCGUCGUCGCCGUCCUCGCACACCUCCCCCUGCGUAUCCUGAUCCUUGUGGCUGCAGUAUUGAUUCUCUAGCGCCUGCAGCUUCUUCAUCGUGGCGCCUUUGUUGUCCCCCGCGAUGGUUAUGAUCCUCACGCCCUUCUCGGAGGCGGCGUCGCCGAUGUCGAAGGCCGAGAGGCGGUCGGUGAGCUGCGAGAUCGUGUCGUGGACCUCGCGGUCGAGUUUGCGGGCUUCGGCGUCGGAAGAAGCCAUUGUUUGCGCAGGGAGGUUGAGGAGAAGAGGGUGUGGAUCGAGGUGGAUUUACAUACAUAAAUGGAAUGUAUAUAUAUAUAUAUAUAUAUAUAUAUAUAUAUAUACAUAUGCAUGUGGUUCUUUACUUGGUGAUUAUGUGCAAGUAUAGUAAGAUUGAGUAAUGGAGUGAGUUAAGUAAUUCCAUUAACAAGGUUAGAAGAAAAGGAUCACUUGCACUGUGAGGGCUCCUUUUUUUUUAUAUAUAAAUGUCUGUUUGGUCCCACUUUUGCUUCUACUUUCAGCUACAGUUAUUUAUGAUAUGAUAUUAAAUAAAUAAUAAAAUUUAGAGAUUCUAUUGUAGCUGAAAAUUAAAUUAAGAUGUGGAGUCUCCAAAAGUAAAAAUUUAAAAUUUGGAGUUUUCGUUUUUGGAUUUUUCUAAUACAACGUUGUAUUACUACUCAAACAAGAAUUUUUUUUUUUUUUUUUGAGAGAUAGAUAGUAUGCUACAUGCUUCAUUUAUUUCAUUUAGAAAUAAACUUAGCUAGAAAUGUGAAUCAACUAGGAUUUGAAUUUGGGACCUCGGGUACCAACCAUCAAGCCCUUUGACAGAAUAAGUAUAUUAUAUCGAGUAAUGAUUUAGAUAUUUUAGCUCUCAUCUAUACCUCUAUACCUAUACAUUAUUUUCCAUAAAAUUCGCCACAUGACAAUAUUUCUUUCACCCCUUGCUUUCUCUCCCCUUAGCAUUCCCUGAUGCUUCGUCUUCCCACUCAUCUCUAUCUGAUGCUUCGUCUUUUCACUGGCUCACUUUUUAAUUAAUGCAUUCAUAUAGUCUAUUGUCAUCUAAAUAAAUUAUUUUUACAAGAAAAGAGUAAAAUAAUAUCUCUUCAUACUCUUUUUUCAUAUUAUUUAUAUUUAUUGAUGUUUCAUGAAAGUCAAAAAAAUUUUAAAUUUUUUAUUUUAUCAAUUUUCUGUCUUUUAUAAUAUUAGCCAGCCGCAAUGCGCUGUUAACUUCACUAAUAAUAUCAAAAUUAGCUCUAGAAAUAUUUCUUUUAAAAUAAAAAGUACAGAAGUCGGAUCACACACAAACUAUAAUUUUAUUCAGGACGAAUUAACAAAUAUUACAUUUAGAAAUAAUUUGGAUAAACCAAACCAAUGUAACCGAAUUAAAAAAUUUCGAUUUGAUUUGGUUCCAAUUUUACAUACUAUAUAUCUGUUUAAUUUUGAGCCAUAAUGUCUCCUGGUGCACUAUUUAUUUGCCUGCUUGUUUGUGGUGUAUCCAUACAUCUUAUGUGUCAGAUACAAUAUUUUGGAAAUAUAUUAUCUAAAUAUUAGUAAUUUCGAAAAUGGCCAAUUUGCAUAAAAAAUUCACUAAUUUUGGGCUUUUGCAAAAGUGGACCACUUUUUUGGAUUUUGCAGAUUCGGACCGAAAUUUCAGCAAACUGACCAAAAUACCUUUAUUACUUUUUCUCUCUCCUCUUUCUUUUUCUCCGUUCUUUUUUUCCUCUCUCCGAAGAAGGCAGCGGAGACGGAGGUGGAGGUGGAAACACCCCGCCUCGCCUCCGCCCUGCACGCCCUCGCCCGUGCACUCCAGCCCUCCUCGCCUCUGACCCUGCUGAGGCCGCGUCGCCACCCUUCUUUUACACUAGGGCACAGCGACGUCGAGACGCAGGCUCUUCUCCUCCACCGCGCGUCGGAACGCCAAGACGUCGUCGACGACGUCGUGAUGGUUGCGAUAGAAAGUAAGGGAGAGGUGGUGACAAAAAAAAAUUAUAGAAAAAAAUAAAAAUAAAAAAAAUUAUUUUUUUCUUACAGAAAAGAUCAAAACAUAUAGGAGAAGAAAGAAGAUGAUGAAAUUACACUCUUAAAAAAAAUUACACUGUUUUAAAAAAAAUUGCACUGUUUUAAUGAAAAUUGCACUAUUUUAUAUAAAAAUUACACUCUUUUAAAAUAGACUUUACACUCUUUAGGCCAAUAUUGCACAAUUUAGAAAAAUUUUGCAAUAUUUCAUUUCUUUCUUUUCUUUUCCUCUCUCUUCUUCUUCUUCUUCUUCCUCCUCCUGCGGGAGCAGCACCCACCUUUCUUCUUCUUCUUCCUACAAGAGCAGCACCCACCCUGCAGGAGCACCUCCCCGUCGCUGCCGCCGCCGAGGAGGCCGCGGCGGCGACGCUGCGCAUGAUGUCGGCGCCGCCCCCCAGCCGCGAUCGCGCGUGGGCUGUUCUCCUUCGCCAGCACAGCGCGAACAGCCCCGCACCAUGCUUAACCUGGGCUGGCUUGAUGGACCGCGCUCGAGGCACCCGAGGGCCUACUGCACCGCCUCCGGCAUGUUCGCCAUCGCCGCCGUCCUGCUCCGCUCGUCAGCGCCGGUGCACCGUCGUCGCUCCAAGUGCCUCACGGCGGCACCGCGGCACACUCUCUCCGCUGCCUGCGCAUCCGCGCCACCUUCGUCGACGCCCAACACACCCACGUCCGUCUUGCGCGCGCCGUCCACUGAGGUGACACCAAGGUCAUCCAAUCUCUCAUUUUUAUUAUAUAUAUAGCAUUGUGAUAUUAAUUGUAUCAUUUUCUCUGGAUGUUAAGCUUGUGAAGAGAAUAUAAUUAAGGGUUGUUGUAUAUUAUAUACUAUUUUUUGGAAGUGAAUCAAACCUAAAAGUGUUAUAGAUGAAACGGAACAGUCGCGGAACGCCGCCGGCGUCGCCGCGGGGAGACCCACCAUGGGCGUGAAGGUGUUGUCCACCACGACGUUGCAGUAGCGGACGUGUCGCCACCGGCUAGCUCACCCCCUUGCGAGUCGAUCGCGGAGGGGGGUACUGCGGCCUGCGGUGGUCUGGGAGAAGGGGGUGAAGCUGGUGGUGGACAACACCUUCACGCCCAUGGUGGUCUCCCCCGCGCGACUCCGCGCCGACGUCAUCAUACAUAGUGUCUCCAAGUUCAUCAGCGGCGGUGCCGACAUCAUCGCCAGUUACUAACCAACUUAUCCUUUUCUUUUCUUUUCCUUCUUAUUUUUUAGGCGGCGCCGACAUCAUGCGCAGCGUCGCCGCCGCGGCCUCCUCGGCGGCGGCAGCGACGGGGAGGUGCUCCUGCAGGGUGGGUGCUGCUCUUGUAGGAAGAAGAAGAAGAAAGGUGGGUGCUGCUCCCGCAGGAGGAGGAAGAAGAAGAAGAAGAAGAGAGAGGAAAAGAAAAGAAAGAAAUGAAAUAUUGCAAAAUUUUUCUAAAUUGUGCAAUAUUGGCCUAAAGAGUGUAAAGUCUAUUUUAAAAGAGUGUAAUUUUUAUAUAAAAUAGUGCAAUUUUCAUUAAAACAGUGCAAUUUUUUUUAAAACAGUGUAAUUUUUUUUAAGAGUGUAAUUUCAUCAUCUUCUUUCUUCUCCUAUAUGUUUUGAUCUUUUCUGUAAGAAAAAAAUAAUUUUUUUUAUUUUUAUUUUUUUCUAUAAUUUUUUUUUGUUACCACCUCUCCCUUACUUUCUAUCGCAACCAUCAUGACGUCGUCGAUGACGUCUCGGCGUUCCGACGCGCUGUGGAGGAGAAGAGCCUGCGUCUCGACGUUGCCGUGCCCUAGUGUAGAAGAAGGGUGGCGACGCGGCCUCAGCAGGGUUAGAGGCGAGGAGACUGGAGUGUACGGGUGAGGGCGUGUAGGGCGGAGGCGAGGCUGGCUGUUUCCGCCUCCGCCUCCGCUGCCUUCUUCGGAGAGAGAAAAAAAAAACGAGAAAAAAAGAAAGAGGAGAGAGAAAAAGUAAUAAGGGUAUUUUAGUCAGUUUGCUGAAAUUUUGGUCCAAAUUUACAAAAUCUAAAAAAGUGGUCCACUUUUGCAAAAGCCCAAAAUUAAUAGAUUUUUUAUGCAAAUUGACCUUCGAAAAUUUUGGAUAUAAUUUUAGUAGUUUCAAAAAUAUAUUAUCUAAAUAUUAACAGGCAAAGUUGCUUUUCGAUCUAUGCUUCGCGGCGAUUUGUUGGAAACUGUGGAAAGAAAGAAACACUAGAGUUUUUGAAAAUCGUGAAACGGAAAGUGGGGAAGUGGGUAAUAAGGUCGUGUCCUCUGCUAUCCUUUGGAAAUCACUUCUGAGGUCAAAGGGGGACUUUUUUCGAAAAUAACCCUAUAAAAAUUCGUAUUUGCAAAACAAAUCCUGUGAAAUUUUUAUUUGUGAAACUAACCCUCCUCUCGCCACGUGGGCGCUACGUCAGAGAUUCCUCAAAAAGACGGUGAAUCGUUCACCGUCUUUGAUAUUUGUUGUGAAGGCGGUGAAUGGUUCACCGUCUUCAUAAGACGGUAAACCAUUCACCGUCUUUAGUACAAAUCCCUACACUGCGCAAAUCUUUCCAAGUCCAUAAUAUGAUGUCCUUGAUAAGACGGUGAAUCGUUCCUCGUCUUCUCGAGGGCACAGAAAAGGCAGAUUUGAGAGGGCGGAAAGGGAAAAUGGCGGAAAAGAAAAUUUUGCACUAAAGACAGUGAAUGGUUUACCGUCUUCUAAAGACGGUGCACCAUUCACCGCUUUUACAACAAAAAUUACAAAGACGGUGAACGAUUCAUCGCCUUUUUUAGGAAUUCUUGACGUGGCGCCCACGUGGCGAAAGGAGAAUUAAUUUUACAAAUAAAAAUUUCAUGAGGUUAUUUUGGCAAAUACGAACUUUCACAUAAUUAUUUUCGAAAAAAGUCCUCAUAGGGAGCAACAGAGGCGGUUAGCCUCUUACCUCUCUCCUACUGGCAUGUACUAUGGUAUUCUCAAAUAGGGUAUUUCCCUGUUUAAUAAUAUAUAUAUAUAUAUAUAUAUAUUAGUAGUUUCAAAAAUUAAUACUUAAAAAAAAAUUAUUUAAAUCGUAUAUAAAAUCUAGUAUUUCAUAUUUUAUUAGUAAUGAAUCUAAAUACUUCAAUUUUAUACAAAAAUUAAAAAAAAAAUAAAACCUCACAUUACCAUGUCUCUUCCUACAGAAUAUUUUAUAACUAUCAAAAAAUUAUGAAUCUAGUUAAAUUAUUUUUUGAUAAUAAAAUAUUUGAAUCAGUUUUGUUAAAUUUAUUUUAUUAUAUUUAAAAAUUUUAAAAUAAUAAAAUUAUUAAUUUUUAUAUUAUUUAGCAAAUGACUCGAAAUUAAACGCAAAUUCGAAUUUUAUUAUAUUAUUAUAUAUUAAAUUAAAAUUAAAAGAAAGCGGUGGGCGGUGUUGUUCAAAUCUCCAUCAUCAAUUAAAAUAAUAAUAAUAAUAAUAACAAUAAUUGCCCUACGGAGGCUCGACCAAUCGACCCCACCAUUUCCGCGUCUCUCCGCUUUUUUUUCUCCCAAAAACCUAGGGCUUGCGAAUCCCAAAUUGAGGGGGGUGAGAGAGAGAGGAAUCGGGGGAGGAGGAAGAAGACGAAGAGGAGAUUGUCGCCAUGUCGCCCGGAGCUUCCGAUGGAUCCAGCGUUGUCGGUGAGGAGACGAAUUAAUGUCUCGUUUUUGUCUAAUUUAGGGUUCUUUGUGGUGUUUUUAGGGAUUUAGCGUCGGUAAUCGCUUCAGUUAGGUGUGAUUUGCGCUUUGAAUCGGUUGUGGUGCGAAAGAUAGGAUCUUUAAUCUGUUAAUUUUGGGAUUGAUUGUGCUAGGAUUUGUGUUUUGGUAAUUUUUGUGUACUCGUGAACCGAAAGAUCGAUAUAAUAGGAAAUGAUCUUAAUAAUCUUAAUACCUUUGCUUAUUUGCGUGGUGGAUAUAUGACAAGAGAGAGGUGAACGAAGGGCGAUUUAACUCGUUAAACAGUAGAUGUGGGGAAUUGAACACAAGACCUCUUUGAACCGUUGCGAGAUUCGGGGUUAGGGGUUGGGGUUCGGGGUCGGAAUUGAAUCCAGGACCUCUUGGAACUGGUGGGUUUGGGGGUGGCGAAAUUGAACCAUGGACCUCUUGGUUGCGGUUGCGGUCGCGGUAGGGGUGGGGAGGAGGGUCGGGCUGUGGGUGGGAGGAGUUCUUAGGACUUGCUGUGAUCGCCGUGUAGCUCAAAAGAUUGAUCUACUAGGAAAUGGUUCGGGAAUAGUCUUAACAAUACUAAUGAUUAUUUGAAAUUGUUUGCUAUAUUCAGUUAUCUGGUUCUUAGAUAGUUUUUACCGUAUGUGCUGAGUUGUGAAUAAUUCUUAAAAAUAAGAUCGAGAAAUUUGUUCUCAUAUGCCAAAAUGAUGAUUUUAAUGCCAAAAAGCUAUAUGUUUUGUGAGAACCUGCUGGAAUUUCAAUGAAAAGACUUCUGGGUUUAAUGUUUAUGCCAAUUUAGCAGCUAAAGAGAAGUCCUUUAGUCGGUGGUAUUCCCCGUUAUGAAGGCAUACAUGUAUCCAUUUUUCUGUAUAUAUAAGAGAAGGCAAUUGAAGGGACUUUCGCAUUAUUAUUCUACCUCGAAAAAUGAUUUUGACAUCUAAAUCAUUUAUUAGCACGUUGUCGUGAAGCUUCGGGCGGGUGUCCUCAGAGGCAGGAGCAUUUGGGGUGUACAAAUUAGGAGCUUUGUGAGGUUAAACACUGUAACUGAAUUAACGUGUUCAGAGAACAUGGUCAAUAAAAUUUCCUGGGAUCCUAAAAUGCUACGCAGGUGUGGCGCUUAAUUGGCAACGAUACAGUUAUUGCGAUUGAAAAGAAGUUACCUAUAAUUUUUUCUCAAAUAAAAGAUUGAAAUUGUUUAGUUUUCUCUAAUGAUGUUUCCUAUGGCACAAAAGAUGCACAAUAUCCCAAUGCAUCUUCCCCCUGUCUUUAAUUUGUUUGAUUUUUGUUAGACUACUGACUAUUAAGAAGAAAGAAGAUUCUAGGCAACCUAUAGUUCCUUGUAAGGGAAAAUAAUCUUCUUAAAGGGAACCCUAUAAUUGAUGAAAUAAUGCAUUUCUGUCUCAUUAUAAUUGGUCGUUACUAAUCCUUUAGCUGUUACUAUUUUACUUAAAUUAUUUGUUGUCCAUGCUCGAUAUAUAUACACACUUUUUAAGUGCUGGUUUUCAUUUACUUGGGACUUUUUCUUGUUCCAUUUGUAAUGAGAGUGAUCAUUUUGUUAAACAAUUUGCACAGUUCCACGGAACUUUAGACUGCUAGAAGAACUCGAACGAGGAGAAAAGGGGAUUGGAGAUGGUACCGUGAGUUAUGGGAUGGAGGAUGGAGAUGACAUCCUGAUGCGCUCAUGGACGGGCACUAUAAUCGGCCCUCAUCAUGUAAACAAAAAUAGCACUUUUCACAUAUUUCAUCUUAUAAUUACUUUUUAUAUAUUAUGGACUUUAUUGGUUUUUUUUUUUAUUUUGUGAAUCUUAACAUUCUUGCAGUCCGCUCAUGAGGGUCGGAUCUAUCAGCUCAGGUUAUUCUGCGACAUGGAUUAUCCUGAGAAGCCUCCCAGUGUCUGGUUCCGCUCGAGAAUAAACAUGACGUGUAUCAAUCCUCAUUCAGGAGCGGUAAUAUGGAUGAACAACAUCUCUCUUCCCUUUGAAAUAAAAAAGAAGAAGAUAUAGCACUGCAAAUAUUAUCUUUUAUCAUAUAUCCAUGAAAAAGCAGAAUUUCCUUAGAUGUGCUUCAAACAACUCAAUAUCUUACAUGUAUAACCAUGUAGUUAUGGAAUGCCCAUCUCUGAAAAACAUCAAAACUAACUUCCCCCUAUGAGUUGGAUGAAUUUCCAACUUAACGGUUAUGCUUGAAAGAAACUGCACUUGCAAGAUGUAUACAUGUGAAAAUUCAAACGUUAGUGAGGUACAUAUGCAAAUCAUUAUUUUGCAACCAUUUCCACAAAAUUCUAAUAGCUUGGGCGAACAAACACAGGUUGAACCGAAGAAAUUUGGCAUUUUGGCGAAUUGGCAACGCAGGUUUACAAUGGAAGAUAUCCUAGUAGAGCUGAAGAGGGAAAUGGCUGCCCCGCAUAACCGCAAGCUACCCCAACCCCCUGAAGGUACAUUCUUUUAGAAGAUCAUCGGGUAUUAAUAGUGUAUCUUGAUGGAUUUCCCACUAGUAUUGCUCAGUCAAAGACACUUUAUGUCACAAUUCAGAACGGGGAAGUAGUAAUAUUUUUUCAUAAUUGCUGGUGAAAUUUGUGUCAUUUGUUGCAAGAAUGCGAUUAUGCAAGGACUAAUUACUGUCUCUGAUAUUUAUUUUGUAUGAAUGAUUUUCGACCAAGUCUUUUGACUAGUGCUGUUUUCUUCUCCUCCCCUUUGUAAUCCAUACUUUAUUCUUGUUCACUUUCUCUUGCUUACAUAUCAUCUAAUUGUUGAAGUGCCUCAGAAUUUUCACACUGUUUGGUAUCAAUAGAAAUGAAAUCAAUUCGAUUUUCAAUUCAAUGUUCUCAAGUGAAUAAGGCUUGUGGUUGUCUUGGAAUGAAAUGUAUUUGGACUGGAUUCCAUUGCGUAUUUCCUGUUUUACUUGUGAUCAUUUGAGAUUCAUGAGAUUUACAAAGUUUGUGUUUAGAUGGGAAUCAUAAUUAGAUCUCAAAUCAUCUGAUUUGCUUUCUCUUAUGAAAUCCACCAAAAUUAGUGGAAAGAAAUACAAAUCAUGAACUAUAAGUAUCCAAACAACGGAUUGAGUAAAAUAUCAAUUUGAAUUUUUGCCCAAGUCACCUAGAAGGGUUUUGCCAAACAGGGUGCUAAUAGAGUUGGAAAGUAGGAAGUUUUGAAGUUUCAGAGCUUGUCCUGUUGCAGUAUCAAUUUUUGUCUCUUUGAAAACUUAAGAGAAAAGGUAGAUUUGGAAAAGCAAGAAUACUUUUUAUACAUUUUGGGUUUGUGAUUCAAUCCAAAUCGGUGAUUUAAAGGACUCUAAAUAGGGUGUACAGCUAAUGGAAUAUAAAACUGAAUCUUAUUAUUUUUAUGUUGGUUAUGGUAAUCUGACAAUAGAUUGCAACACUUCUGUUGGAGAGUUUCUGAUUCAUCAGUUUCUGAGUCAUCAGAUAACUGAACACUCCUUUGAUGCUUUUAGAACUCUGCAUUUAAAUAAUGUCCAAUCAUCAUCUCUACUUUAGGCAAAGCUAUGUUAGAUGAUUGCUAUGAAAGUUGAGGAUAGUGGAGUAUCAGAUUAAAGCAUUUAGGGUUUUUAGUGGUUGUAUAUUUUAGUUACUAAAUCUGUAUAGCAUAUUCUUAAUCAUCUCCUAAAUGUUGUAUUACUAUAGAUAUAUAAUUUGUAUCUAGAAGAGCUCUUUUUAUUUCGAUGCACAUAUGCAUACACAUCAGAAUGCCGAUAAGCUCUCUGGUAAUAUGACCUGGAUUCGUAUCCUAAAAGACCGAAGACACUGGGUUGAGUUUCAAAUAGCUGAACUAUAUUAGGUUUCAAACUUGAAUUUGAAUUUGAAUAUGAGUCUGAUAAGCUAUGAGAUCCAAUUUAUGGGUGUGUUUGGUUCGCCCCUUUUUCACCCUGGAAUCGGAAUCGACAAAUGGUAUGCGGAAUUUUCAUUCCUACUCCGAUUCCGAUUCUCAGGUGAAUGAGAAUCCCUCUAAUUACCUCUUUUUCCAAUCCGGCCUAGGAAGGCCGGAUUGGAAGGAUUAAAUUUAACUUUUUUAAGCUUAUUUUUUAAUUAAAACAUAAGUUUAAGUUUAAAAAUUAUAUUUAUAAUUUAAAAUUUAAUUUAAACUUAAAUUAAAAAUUAAAAUUCAAUCAAGCAUUCGAAUCUAAUUUAUAAAAUUAAAUUUAAAUUUAAAUUUAAUUUAAAAUCUAAAGUUCUAUUCAUAUUUUAUUUAAAAUUUAAAUUAAAUUUAUGGAUUCAAAUUGAAAUUGAAAUUAUAAUUUUAAGUUUGAAUUUGAAUAAAUAGAAAUAGUUUUAUAUUUUGAAUUAUCCGUUCAAUUUCAAAUUUUAAUUUUUUUAAAAAAUAUAUUUAAAAUUUUGACAUCAUUUUAAAAUUUUGAUGUACAUUUUUAAUAUUUAUUCUUCAAUUUGAAUUUAAACUAAUAUAUUAUAAAGAUAAAAUUGACAUAUUAAUUUGAUUACAUUUCUAAUAUCUAUUUAAGCCAAACACAUACAAUGGAAAUGGUUCAAUCCGAUUCCAAUUCAUGUGGCAAACUAAAUAGAAUGAGGUAAUGAAUUAUUCAGAUUUCGUUUCCAGCUUAUUCUUAUUUCGAUUUCAAUACCGAUUUUGACUUCGAAUCAAACACACCCUAUAUUUCUAGGUACUUUCUAGUGUGGGUUGGAUUCAGAUCAGGUUGGUGGAUUAGCCUUGUUCAUAGAUGUCUCUAGAUCGAAACAAGCAUUUGGUGUGGUGUAAGAUGUCCAUCCACUCUUAAUAGAUAAAUGAGUGCUAUAUUCAGCCAAUAAGUUAUUUUUUAUGAAUAAGACAAAUCAACACAUUGGUGGAAGGCAUUGUUCUAGUAAAAUCGUGACCGCGAAACUUUGCAAGUAACUAAAAAUAGACUUUUUAGUCUUUACAGCCAUAAAAGAAAAUCUUCAUGGCACACUAGCUAUUGCUGGAUAACUUCUCUUGACAUCUGAACAGAUCCUAAAUUGCACUGUCAAAUUUUUUUUCACAUAGAAUAAUCAUAAGUAGCUCUUUGAGUUCUCUCUCUCUCUCUGUCUCUUGUGAACUCGGUUUCCUUCAUUUGUAGAGAAGCCUUUAGAACUCCUCAAUGCCCAUUAGGAUGUCACUUUCAAUGUAUGGGUGAUCACAUCCAUUAUGAUUAAUUAAGCAAUGGUGUCUCGGUUAAGUAGCCUAGCAUGCCUCUUCCUUUUUGGGUAUAUGAAAGAGAAGUCCAACAAUUGAAGGUGGAAUAAGCCAUUGAAAAUAUUGGACCAUGGAAGUCUCAUCUUGUAGAUCAUACUCUAGAAUAUGAAUUGUGCCUUCUGGUAGUGCCUUUCAUUUUCCAUUCUCAGUUUGUGAAAUCUAAUCUCCCUUGGUUCGACGCGGUCGAAAAGUUGAUUAGGCAAUCUUUUGGAAUCUGUAGUGGGUCAAAACUGUAGUGAUGCUACCUUUAUCCAUCAAUUUACUCUACAAGAUUGUUGCGAGAUAUUAGGGUUCAAAUUGUAGAAAAAACUUUAAGUGUGGUUAAUGCUAAUUGACUUUAUGGUAGGGUGUAAGAGAAAAGUUUUCAGAGGGAUUGAGAAUGGGACCCAUCUAAAAUUAGCAUUCAAAAUUAUUGAUGAGCUACUACCAUGCUCUUUUUCCUCAUAAUUCACAAAGCAAUCACCAACUGUCGCUAGAGCAAGUGGCAAAAGGUUUAGUGGUUGAUACCCGAGACCCAAGUUCGAAUUCUAGUUGAUUCACAUUUCCAGCUAAGUUUAUUUCUAAAUGAAAUAAACGAAGCGGGUAGCGUGCUAGCUAUCUCUCAAAAAAAAAAAAAAAAAAAAUCCUGUAUACAUAAACAUUGAACUGGACUUGUCCAAGGAAGAGGAGUCUCAUUUUCAAAUUCCCCAAAACUGCAGAAAACAAAAGCUAUCAUCAUUCCUGUAGAUGAUCUCAUGCUUAUCUCAUUUCCUUAAUAUGAGAUUACCAUAAGGAGAGGGUCUUGAUGCAUGCCAAGUGUCUCUACUUUAAAAUCCCGACCGUCCAUUGAGUUGCAGCUGUUGAUAUAGAUAAAUCUUGUAAGGAGCUUUAAGUAGGAUUUGUGCUCUGUUGUGUUUGGCUAGUGCAAGUUCCUCAGUAGGGCAUGUUUUGAUCACAUUUAUUGAAGCACAAUAUUGGUCACUCCACCAAAUCUCUCUCUUCUCUCUCUCUGUUUCUCACUCUCUCAUGGAUGGAAGUGAGACAAGAUCUAAUGGACCAUCAGUAUGUUUACACAAUUCAGCCUCUUCUUCCUCCAAUUCUCAAAGCAUCUCUUCAACGGCGCCAACUACAUCGUCGUCGUCGUCAUCAUCAUCGUCAUCGUCAUCUUCAUCGUCAUCGACCACAUCAAGCACACACGGGGAACCCGGGGGGAGGAUGGUGCUACGGGGAUGCCCGCGGUGCCUCAUGUACGUGAUCGUGCAUGAGCAGAACCAGAGAUGCCCGAGGUGCUACUCGACUGCUUUGCUCCACCUCUUCUCAUAAGGAUGUGAUGUACGUAUAUACGUACGUACGUAUGUUCCGUAUAGCUUCAUCAAGCCUCAGUUUUAUUACUAAUGCAUACUUACAGAGGAAGUUUCAGAAUAAAGAGAAUUGACAUUUCUUGUGUAUAAUUCUUAGGAAAAGAAGAAAACAAUGAACUAGAUUGCACCCUUCGAUUUUUGAGUGUCGUAAAAGUUGUAGAGAUACUAUAAUUUUGAUCUUCUGAUGAGCAGAGAACAUAUGGUGUAGGUAAAAAAGAAAAAAGAAAAAACAGAGGUAUAACUGAAAAUAUGAUCAUAUUGCUGAUCACUGUGUUAUCAAUAUUCUUCGGUGUUUUUAAAUAGAAGUAAUGGAUCCUGUGAAGAUCAUCUUGAACAAGCAUUGCAAAACCCAGUGUUAGGAGUUUAAUUAAGAGGCGGUUUUUUUUAAGAAGAGUCUGUAACAACCCGGAAGAUAGCUAGUAUUAGUAGUUAGAUGUAGGAGAGAAGUAAAGGUAACAGCUUUACUAGUUAGAAGGAGAAUAAGGACAGCAGCAGGUGGAGAGGAGGAGGUGCGGCAGGAGGGUCCGACGAGAAGCGCCUUCAAAGAGGCUCAGGCGAGCUUGUCGGAGCAAUCUGGCGAGAGGAGGUCCGGGCGGAGUUCUGGUGGGGUCAUUUUACUACCGAUUUGUUUUCGAUGAUAGAGCUUUCAAAUUGACGAUCGGCUCCGUUAAAUAUGAUCUAAACCAUUUAAACUAUCUAGAAAUCAAAUUUUACGCACUUUCGAUAUUGUUCUUUUAUCCAUCAAGUGAAUAGAAAAUUGAAUNUUAUUUUCUUUAGCAACAAAAUAUUUUAACUAUUUAUUAUGUCUUUUUAUCACAUAUUUUGAACUUUAUUGAGAAAAUUACUUACUAAUUUAAAGAAUAGGGGGUUUUGAGCUGUGCCAUCGGUACGGGGUCUGUAUCAUGUCGUUAUCUUGUUGACACGGCACAAUACGGUAGAUACGGUCGUGUUGACGGGCACUUAAAAUCUUGCUAAGAGUAAAUUAAGUGCUAAUUUUUUAGAAUGUUUUUUAUUAGAUUGUUAGUAGUAUGUUGACAUCAUCUUUUUUAAAUGUUUUAUGAUAUAUUUGUUAAGCGUAUUAACAAAUUAUUAGGAGCCUUUGUGGAAUAAAACCAAUGCAUUUCCUAUACAUUAGAUUUUAUCUCACCUCUCUCUCUCUCUCUCUCUCUCUCUCUCUCUCUCUUUAUAUAUAUAUAUAUAUAUAUAUAUAUAUAUAUAUAUAUCCAUAGCAAACGGGCUCCGUUGUCACCCAUUUGUUUUCGAUGAUAGAGCCUCCAAAUCGACGAUUGGCACCGUUGAAUAUGAUCUAUACCACUUGAAGUGUUUAGAAAUCAAAUUUCAUAUAUUUUCGAUAUUGUUCUCUUAUCCAUCGAGUGGACACAAAAAUGAAUGACUGAAAAUAAAUAUUUUUUAAAAAAUGAUGAUAGGAGUCUUGUAAUCAAGAUCAAGAGUAUAGAUCUUGUUUUAAAUAGUUUAAAAAAUUUUCUAAUAAAAAUUCAAUUGAUUUGAAUAUUUUUACGCUAUUAAACGAGAAAACGCCUCAUAUCGACCAUUAAAAUUACAAAUUUUAAAAUCCUUUGAUAAUUAGGCAAAUGAUGUCGAAAAGAUUUGAAAUUUAAUUUCUAAACACUUCAAGUGGUAUAGAUUAUGUUCAACGGUGCCAUUAUCGAUUUGAAAGCUCCAUCAUCGAAAACAAAUGGGUGACAACGAAGCCCGUUUGCUAUCGAUAGUAUAUAUAUAUAUAUAAUAUAUAUAUAUUAUAUAUAUAUAUAUAUAUAUAUAUAUAUAUAUAUAUAUAUAUAUAUAUACUAUAGUAGCUAAUAUACUAUUAAUAGCACCAAGUCAUUGAUGCUACCAAGUUUUUGGCCAUUGGAUUAAGAGAAUGCGCUGUUUGGAUGAUGUUGGCCCCUUAGGGUUGACUUGGUGGUUGGUUGAAUAGUAUGAUCUAACAGGUGAAAAUGAUCAAAAAGAUAGAUCUAACGGCGGAAAACUUAGUAGCACCAAGUGCUUCGUACUAUUAAUAGCAUAGUAGCCGGACUCUCUCUCUCUCUCUCUCUCUCUCUCUCUCUCUCUCUCUCUCUCUCUCUCUCUCUCUAUAUAUAUAUAUAUAUAUAUAUAUAUAUAUAUAUAUAUUCGGCUACUAUGCUAUUAAUAGCACGAAGCACUUGAUGCUACCAAGCUCUCUCUCUCUCUCUCUCUCUCUCUAUAUAUAUAUAUAUAUAUAUAUAUAAUUGAGCUUCUACACUUUUAAAAGCUUUCGGUUAGUAGUGCUUUUAAGUUUUUAACCGUUGGAUGAAGAUUUAUAAGGUUAGGAUAAUAGUGAUCAUCUACUAGGGUUGAUCGUGGAAUAGCAUAAUCUAAAGAAUGAAAUUGAUCAAAGAGAUCGAUCUAAUGGUAGAAACUUAUAAGCAUGAUGCUUUUGCAAGCACUGUAGCCGGACUCUCUCUCUCUCUCUCUCUCUCUCUCUCUCUAUAUAUAUAUAUAUAUACUGGCUACGGUGCUUAUAAAAGCACCAAGCAUUUGGUGCUUGUCAAUUCUUUUUUUUAGAUCUACGCCUUUGAUCAUUUUCACUCGUUAGAUUAUACUAUUCAACCACACACUUACUUAACCCUAGGAGGCCCACAUCAUCCUAUGCUUGAUAAGAGAAAUAAAAUUAUGUUAGCGGGAAAGAUGAGACGAUAUUGUGAACACAAAUUGGUUUAGACUCGAAAUAAAUAUAUAACUACGUAAGUUAGCACCUUAGCAUUAGUCUCUCUUUUGCAAAUUAAUCUGUUGGCGCCGUAAAAUCGUGCUAAGUGGUGAACCGGAAUGCACCAUCAGCAUGGUUCUUGAAGUCAGGGAUAAGCAACAUAUGGUGCAUCAGGAAUUGAGAAAAACAUACUGAAAACUGAAAAGCAGUUAAUGCCUAUGCGAUUCAGAUCGGCUAGUAGUACCGACCGUCUAGAGAAAGUGGCAAAAGGCUUGAUGGUUGGUACUCGAGACCCAAAUUCGAAUCCUAGUUGAUUCACAUUUCUAGCUAAGUUUAUUUCUAAAUGAAAUAAACAAAGCUCGUAGCGUGCUACCUAUCUCUCUCAAAAAAAAAAANAAUCGGCUAGUAGUGGUCCGCGAAAUCAAUGAUGUGUCAGAUCAUGAGAAAAACGGGAUAAUAACGGACGAGAUUAUAAAUAAAAAAAAAAAAAGACACCUAACACAGGAGUCUUUUUCUCCUGAGAAACAAGGAGACCAAUUUCCUUUUUAUUAUAUUUUUUAUUUUUUAGGAGUAGUUUACAUAUGAUACCUUUUCAUUUUCUACAUUUACUGUCUUUUCUAGAAGUAAUUUGUAGAUUUAAUUUUUCUCUAAGACUGUAAGCUAUAGCAGUGCACCUUCUUCUAUAAAUAUUUUUUAACUUUAAGCAAUAUAUAAGCAUUUCGACUUUCAGCCGAAUCAGAAAUACUGUGCAGUUUCUGGACUCGGUUGAUCCAGCGGAACCAAAAAUACUGUGUAAUUUCUGAACUUGGCUGAUUCGAUUCCUUAUCAGCCGAAUUGCUUGAUUCGACAGUGGGCGCAAAUCUCAAGGAUCAUCAACAAUAUCUGCUCUGUCUCUUUGCGCUUUCUAAAAGAGAAUUGUGACUGAAUCAGCGGUCAAAAAAAUCAGCUUGCAGCAUAAUCAUAAAUGGCACCUGAUUUAUUCAUAUUUUUACACUAUUUAUAGGUCUAAUCAAAUGAUCAAUUUUUAUAAUAUAGAAAAGCAAUUUACUGAGUGAUAAGAUUGAAAUAUAAUGUAAAAAAAAAUCGAGGGCCGAUUGAUGCGGGAUGCAUGAUCCGACCCGCUAAGAAAACGUAAUGGGAACUGGGAAGUAAAAGAUUCCUCCCGUCCCUCCGAAUCCGCCCCGUUUGCAUGGUGCACCACCGGAGAAUGCGCAGUUUUAAAUAUUUUUCUCCAUUUGCCACGCGUCCGAUUCUCAUUCGCUGUGUCCGACCUUUCUACGUCACCGUACACUAAACAUCCUCCCACGUUUCGCAGUAAACACUCUGCAACUUCUUCGGUGCAACGGUUACACGGUCACGGACUUGCACCUCCUCACUACACCUCCGACAAGUGGGCCCCCCCUUGUCCGUUUCCCCCACUUCAAAACCCCUCGAACCCCUCCCCUCCCCUCCCUCGUGAGCUCUCUCUCUCUCUCUCUCUCUCUCUCAUGGCGUCGCGCGCUCUCCUCCUCGCUCUCGCGAUCUCCGCGUUCCUCCUCCUCUCCGCCUCCGGCGCCGGCGCGAACGGCGGCGCCGCCAACGACCUCGACGACGAGGACCUCAGCUUCCUCGAGGACGGCGACGAAGCCGCCCCCCACCACGGCUCCGAGGAACCCUCCUUCGGAGGCGACAGCGACGAGCUCGGGGACUUCGACCCCGCCGAGCUCGACGACGAGGAGGACGGCGUCGAGCCCUACUCGGCGGCGGGGGCGGGGGCCGAGAUCGACGAGAGCGACGUGGUGGUGCUCGCCGAGGGCAACUUCAGCGAGUUCCUCGCCUCGCGCCGCCACGUGAUGGUGGAGUUCUACGCGCCGUGGUGCAUGCACUGCCAGGCGCUGACCCCGGAGUACGCCGCGGCGGCCACGGCGCUCCGCGGCGAGGACGUGGCCCUCGCCAAGGUCGACGCCACCGAGGAGAAUGACCUCGCCCAGAGGUACGAGAUCCAGGGGUUCCCCACCGUGCUCUUCUUCGUCGACGGCGUUCACAGAGACUACCCCGGAGCAAGGAGCAGGUAACAAGCUUUGGAUCUGAUGCCUUCUCUCACUCGAUCUCCUCAAAUCCUUGUCAAAUUCGCAGUAGCUGUUGUAAUUUCUAAGCAGUUUUGCCCUAAUUUUGCUUCUUCCCAGGGUUUCUGCUCUAGAUCGACCCAUGAUAUUAUCAGGGACUAAUUAUGUGAGGGAUUUGGUUUUAAUUUUGCAGAGAUGCUAUAGUGACAUGGAUCAAGAAGAAGAUAGGCCCUGGAGUCCAGAAUAUCACCACAGUUGAUGAGGCAGAGAAGAUAUUAACUUCUGAAGAUAAAGUUGUUUUGGGCUUCCUCGACUCUUUGGUGGUAAUUUUAUAGAAUUGACUCCCUUUUAUCUUUUCAAUUGCAAAGAGGAUCAUACUGGAAUAAAGAAAAUGUACUCUUUCUUGUUAAAUUUUUCACAGAUAGUUGUUAUACUGUUGGAGCCCUAGGGAAGUGCCAAAUUGCAUUGUUUCGAAAGUUUGUUGUUUCGAUCUUUAAGGUUCCCGACGUUAUUUGGCUCAGAAUCAUCUUCUUGAUGUCUGCAGGGUGCUCACAGCGACGAGCUUUCUGCAGCUUCAAAGCUUGAAGAUGAGGUUAAUUUCUACCAGACUGUCAACCCUGAUGUAGCCAAGCUUUUCCACAUUGAUCCGAAAGAGAACCACCCGCCAUCUUUGAUAUUGCUGAAGAAGGAGGCUGAGAAAUUAGCCUACUUUGGUAUGCUUGUCUCCUAAGUGCUUCAACUUUCUAGGGUUCUAUGUCAUGAGAAAAGUGUAGGUAACUGCAUUGAUAUGACUGUUAUUCGAUAUGCAGAUGGAGAGUUCACUAAGUCUAGCAUUGCUGACUUUGUGUUUGCAAACAAGCUUCCAUUGGUGACCACAUUUACCAGGGAAAGUGCCCCUGCAAUUUUUGAUAAUCCUAUAAAGCAGCAGGUAAAUCUAUGUUGACUGCAUCAAACUACUGCCUUGCCGUUUAAUGCACAUUCUCUCGUGUCAAUGUAAGCAUGCCUUAUGUUUGACAUCUGUUCUUCUGUACUACUAUUAGAUUCUGCUCUUUGCUACAUCGAAUGAAUCUGAGAAGAUCGUGCCAACAUUCCAAGAAGCUGCAAAACUGUUCAAGGGAAAGGUAAGUGCCGAGUAUUCUGAUCUACCUCCUCCUUCAGAGUAACUCUGCAUAAUCACCUAAAACCCAAUAUUUGUCAAUUUAAUUAUGUGUUUCAUUCUUUGUAUAAUCUUUAUGAUGAAGCUUGACAUGUAAAAAUGUAGUUUUGGCCUUAUACAUAGCAUUGAGCCAUUUCUUCACUUAACAGCUGCUAACUUUUGUACUGGUGUGAUAUUUCAAGCGGUUUAUAUUUUUGACUCAUUUUACUUUAGCAUUGCUUACGUUGUGUCGAGUCAUGACUUAGUUCUGUUAUGUAUUUUGGAUGUCUUCCCAGAAAAAGGGAAGUAUCUGGUUGGAUCUUAUCUUUACUAGAUUCUUCAUAGCUUCCCAGAUUUCAAUUUCUCAGUGAAUACUUUAAUGCAAGGGAAUCCAGUGAAAAUCAAUCUUUUGUGAAGUGUAUUUGAUUAGUUCUAUACCGCAACGAUUCAAGUGAAGAGAGAUUCGGGUCGACUGUUAGGCGUGUUUGGUUCGAAGUCGGAAUCGGAAUUGGAAUGACACAUUACCUAAUUCUGUUUGGUUUAUCACCUGAAUAGGAAUCGGAAUAAAUCAUUCCCAUUGUCGGUGUUUGGUUCAGAUAAAUAUAAAAAACGUAAUCAGAUUAAUAUAUUAACUUUAUCUUUAUAAUAUAUUAAUUAAAAUUCAAAUUAAAAACUAAAUAUUAAAAAUUUACGUCAAAAUUUUGAAAUAAUGUCAAAAUUUUAAAUCUAUUUUUUUACAAAAAUUUAACUUUGAAGUUGAGUGGAUAAUUCGAAAUAUAAAACUAAAUUUCGAUUUAUUCAAAUUCAAAUUUAAAAUUAUAAUUUAAAUUUUAAUUUGAAUCCAUAAAUUUAAUUUAACUUUUAAAUAAAAUUUGAAUAAAACUUUAUAUAAAUUAAAAUUUAAUUUAAAUUCAAAUUCAUAAGUUAGAUUCGAAAUACUUGAUUAAAUUUUAAUUUUUAAUUCAAGUUCAAAUUAAAAUUUAAAAUUUAAAAUUUAAUUUCUAAAUUUAAACUCAUACUUUAAUUAAAAAAGUUGAAAAAAUAAAUUUGAUCCAAAAAAAUAUCUAUUCCGUCCGGAUUCAACUUCUAAUACGGCUCGGGAAUCGGAAUCGGAAUGGUACUCCCCCGUACCAAACACCCACAAACGGAUUCGCCCAUUCCGAUUCCGAUUCCAGGGUGAAAAAGAAGUGAACCAAACACGUCCUUUGCUUUAUUAAUCAAAGUUGGGUUAGGUACAUUUUGUUCACCCAUCCUCCUUGAAUGUACUUGUUCUCAAUGUUGGAAGCUACAACAGAAUCUGUUACUUCUGGAUCUUUAGCCAUCAGUUGUGAUUUAUGUUCGAAAUGUUGGCACAUUGCACUACCAAUUGGGCUUCCACUUUUUGUUGGAGUUUUAGCACAAGGCUUAUUUUGCACCUAAUUACUUAUUUGGGCAAUCUGAAGCUUUUCAUUGGACAUUUAGUUUACAACUCUUCAACAUAAAAUUAAUUCUCUCUACAUGACUAAACAUAAAUGAAUUAGAAAGUUAUUAGGAAUCUAACGUAUGCUCAGACAAGUCAAUCAAAGGGGGUUCUUAUUGGCAUGACUCUCAGAUUGUUAACUAGAGUUGCUGGGUGCUUCAUUGGACUACUUUCUGGUUGACCACGGUCAACUGCUGGGUCAGCUAGCCCUUAUUUUUUUGGGUGGUUGCGCUGGAGAUAGUGUGCCAGAUAAACACAUUUGGUGUGCUGCAACGUUUUCUCCUUAAUAUCUGUACGUGGUUGAUUCAAUUGCCAGCCAUUUGGCUGAAUUUGAAGAGAGUUCUUUGUUGCGUUCAACUCUCACUGAAUGCAGUAGUUGCGCUCUUUUCAUGUGAUCCUGUACCCUUGAAAUAUUUCUGUGUAAGGACAGUACAUUCUUGUCAUGCGAUCACGUCCAUAAUUAUUUCCUUUUCCUGUUUCGAAGUCAUUAAACUGCUUUAGAAGCUUGAUCGUCAGGUUUUGUAAAUUGAUGUACGGUAUAUGUUUGUAGCUUGCUCUGAGAUACCUAUGAUUUUGUUGCAGCUCAUCUUUAUUUAUGUGGAGAGGGAUAAUGAGGAUGUCGGUGUACCAGUUUCAAAUUACUUCGGUGUGACUGGAGAUGGUCCUAAAGUAAUAUACUCUUCUCUCUUCUUCUUCCGAUUAUUCGAACAUAUAUUAUUGUGCCUUUGUGCUGCUGGAUAAAUUUCAUCAUCUGAUUAACACAAUUAUGUAGGUUUUGGCAUACUCAGGAAAUGAAGAUGCCAAGAAAUAUAUACUCGAUGGUGAGCUAUCAUUGGACAGCAUAAAGGUUUGUAUUCCAUUACUAUUGCAAAGUGAGCAUACAUCAUUUUUUUCCUCUUUGAUUAGUUUUAAAUAGAAAAGAUGGAUAAGGUCUUUUCUUUACUGCAGAAAUUUGCCGAGGGUUUCUUGGAAGACAAGCUGAAGCCUUUCUACAAAUCUGACCCCAUUCCUGAGACUGUAAGUGCCCAAAAUUAUCCAACUCUCGUUUAUUUCUUCCCUAGUUCUAUUUUUCUUUUCUUUUUUUCCUUAUUUUUUUCUUUUCCAUUUUCAACAUUUGCAUAGAACGAUGGUGAUGUGAAGAUUGUUGUUGGGAACAAUUUUGAUGAGAUAGUUCUCGAUGAAUCCAAGGAUGUCCUCCUAGAGGUAAGUCAUUCCUCAGUAAUCAAUAGCGAACAUCUUUAUUCGUUCAGCGUAAUAUAACUUAAUACCGUUAUUCUUUUUGUGGGUUUGGAUGAACCAGAUCUAUGCACCAUGGUGUGGGCAUUGUCAAGCAUUGGAACCGGUUUACAACAAGCUCGCCAAGCAUCUCCGCGGCAUUGACUCUCUAGUCAUCGCAAAAAUGGACGGCACCACAAAUGAGCACCCUCGUGCCAAGGUCUUGCCUCUCACUCAAUAACUCUCUCUCUCUCUCUCUCUCUCUCUCUCUCUCAGUAUUGAGAGAUUAGGAACAGAAUCUAGAAAUGGAACUCUGAACAUUCCUCUUUGGCUUAUUUUUCAAAUAUUUUCAUAAACUGGAGAAUGUUGUCAUCAAUCCCUUGAAUCUGAAUGUGUUUUUCUGUUCAUACGUUCCAGACCGAUGGCUUCCCGACUCUGCUCUUCUUCCCAGCAGGGAACAAAAGCUUUGAACCCGUAAGUUUAAUAAUCACUUUGUAUCAACCAUUCGCAUCAUAUCAGUAUCAUCAUUAUCAUGCUCAGCUCAGUAGUUAGUUCCCUGUCUCACUUUUCUGCAUUUUGUACAGGUCACGGUCGAUACAGAUCGAACGGUGGUGGCGUUCUACAAGUUCAUAAAGAAGCACGCCUCGAUCCCAUUCAAGCUCCAGAGGCCGGACUCGGCAACAAAGUCCGAGAGCACCGCCGCUGGCGAUUCCUCUGCAGUGGAGAGUGAGAAGAGUACCAGCUCUGACGUUAAGGACGAGUUGUAGAGAGAGAGAGAGAGAGAGAGAGAGAGAGUGAUAGGGAGCUAUUCUAGGGUUUUUUUUGUCAGGGAAGGAUGAUGUUCUUUUAAGUUAUCUGAGCAGGUAUUUAAAGAGCUUUUCGGCGUAGCAUUAGUUGCCCGGGAAAUGUGAUCUCAAGAGUAGUUUAUCUUGAUACACCUCCUGUAAGAUAAGGAAACUGGAAACUAAUAAGAGUGUCAACUCUCCGUUUUUCACUUACUAUUCUCAUGAAGAUUACAAAAACAAGAACUUGCAAGCAGCAGGUGAUCGAACAUUGUUAAUGAGGAGCAAUUGAUCCAUCAAGCAGAGGACUGGGCCAAUCAAGAUCGAUUAAUCGAGAACCUGAGGUAAUCCAACUCCCAAAUUAUCGAAUUGAGACAGUUUAAAGGUGGAGUGUUCGAAAAGGCUUAUUUUUUUUUUUUUAAAAAAAAUUGAAUGGUCAGAAACCAAAAUAGGAUGAAGAACGAAUCAUCCUAAAUAACUUGAAUUUGAACCCAACCCAGGCACUGAUCGUCAAACUUUUGCCCUGGCUUUAGGUGAUACUGAAAACGUAAAAGAACAAAAUCUGAACCCACAAACAGAUCGUCAAACUUUUGCCGCGAUUUUCCGUGAUACUAAGAACAUAAAAAGAACAACAAGAAAAAACAGAUCGUCAAACUUUUGCCGCGAUUUUCGGUGAUAUAAAGAACAUAAAAAGAACAAAAAGAAAAAGAAGAACAAAGAGGAGUACGUGAUGCAGUCAACUGGGUUGCUUUCAGCAAAGCUAACGGGGAAUGCAAAAUUAAAAAUGGAAAAGCCUCUACUUUCAGCAUCCAACUUUUCUUUUACCAGAAGAAUGAGCUCUAAAAAAAAUAAAAAGUUAGCAUGCAAAUUCACAACACCUCUUCUUGCGCAAGUUAGAGAUGCGGUAUACUUUAUUUGAUAAUUAAUAUUUAAAAAUUAAAGAUUAAUUGACUAGAUUUAUGCUAUAACUUUUGAAGUUAUUUCAUACAUAUAAUAAAAAAGUCUAGAAAAUUUUAGAAUAUAGCAGCAGGACGCCGCCGUUCAAUUCCUAAUAAAUGAUGUUUCAAUUUUUUGAUCAUUGAUGUACAAGCCUUUUGAGUAUUAUUAAAAAAAUAUAUCUAUUCAAUAAUUAAAUUCUAAUUCUACGAAUUCAAUAAUAAGUUUGAAAUAUACGACUUAUCCGUCGAUACGAUAACUUUACUAAAACUUGGAGAGUUUAAAUUUUUUAAAAUAAUAUAUAUAUAUUUAAAUGAGACGGAUAGCGUACUAUUUUUUCUGAAAAAAAAGUUAUUUUUUUUUUUUUUUUUUCAGAGCAAAAUAAAAAAUUUGCAGAAGCUUGAAACGUGAAAACAUGUCAACGACAGAAAUGCACGAGAUCCAAUUAAUAUAUAAGCAUAUGAAAAUAGGAGGUCAACGCCUCACUCAAUCCAGUGUAUCCUCACUCCUCGUGAAUAAUUAAUAUUUUAAAAUUAAAGUUUAAUAUGACAGAUUCAACGUUCUACACCAUCUAAAAACUUAUAUAUAAAAAUUAUUAUUAUUUAAUUUGUAAGAAAUAAAGCUUCAAAAUUUAUAAUAUCUUUGUAAUUUGUUGCUUGGUUACGAAGACUCGAAGAGGAAAGGCGAAAAUGUCUGUGAAUCAAAUUGUGCUGUAGUUGAGGGGUCUCCAUGCAAUUGUAUCUAAUAUUAAAAAUUAGGAUUAAUUUUGUAUCAGUCCCUGCAAACAAAAUGAAUGAUAAAUAUAUCUCUACAAAGUUCAAUUUUCAUAUAUUGUCCCUAUAAAAAUUUUCAAAUAUAUCUUUUUGGUUUGUUACCAUUCUUCGUUUGAUUCGGAUAUAAGCAAGAACUAGUUAUACCGGGGAUAGAUACAAGUAUGGAUUUUAGUAGGAAUAAGGGUAUUUUUUUAUUUGGAUGAAAAUGUGAGUAUAAGCUGGAACUAGAAAAAUUGUGUUUGGAUAAAAAUGUAAGUAUAAGGUGGAAUAGUUGGUAGUUAUAAAUAGAAAAUAAUGAUAUUACUCCUAUAAUUGAAUUUACAUUUUUAAAUUUAUAAUUUUAAAUUGAAAAGUUUAACUUUUAAAUUUUAAAAUUUGAAAUUAAAAUUUAAAAUUUUAAUUUUAAAAAUUUUAAUUUUAAAUAUCAAAUUUUAAAUUUAAGACCAAAUUUAAAUUUGAAAGAUAUAAAAUAUCAAAUUUAAAAUUUAAAAACUAAAAAUAUCAUAUUUAAAAUUUAAAUUUUAAAAAUUUUAAUUUUAAAUAUCAAAUUUUAAAUUUAAGACCAAAUUUAAAUUUGAAAGAUAUAAAAUAUCAAAUUUAAAAUUUAAAAACUAAAAAUAUCAUAUUUAAAAUUAAAAUUUUAAAUUUUAUAAUUUUAACUUAUAAAUUUUAAAUUUUAAAAAUUUAAAUUUUAAUUUAAAACAAAAAUUUCUCUCUCUCUCUCUUUACCCGAGGGUGGGAACAAGCUUGUUCCCACCCCUAUACCGGAUUGUACCGGGUAGGUAGGAACAAGUGUUCCCACCCACCAAUAAAAGUGUUUGGGUAUAAGGGGGGAUAACCUCCUUAUCCCCCUCUUGUACCCAAUCCAAACACCCUCUGCGGUAUCGUUUGGUUCGGAAAUAAACAAAAAGUGACUAUUCCAGAAAUAAAUAUAAAUUGAGGUAUAAACGGGGAUUAGAUCAAUUUUGCUUUCGGAUGAAAAUUGGGUUAUUCCUGAGAAUAAAAAAAAUAGCAUUUGGUUAGGUAAGAUGGAAUAAGAAAGAUAGUGAAUUUUUAUAAAUAAAAAAAUAAUGAUAUUGAUCUUUUAUUAUAUUUAAAUUUGAAUUUUUAAAAUUUUUAAAAUUAAAAUUUUAACUUUGAAAUUUCAAAAUUUGAAAUUUAAAAUUCUUUUAAAACUAUUNAUAUCUUCGUAAUUUGUUGCUUGGUUACGAAGGCUCGAAGAGGAAAGGCGAAAAUGUCUGUGAAUCAAAUUGUGCUGUAGUUGAGGAGUCUCCAUGCAAUUGUAUCUAAUAUUAAAAAUUAGGAUUAAUUUUGUAUCUGUCCCUGCAAACAUAAUGAAUGAUAAAUAUAUCUCUACAAAGUUCAAUUUUCAUAUAUUGUCCCUAUAAAAAUUUUCAAAUAUAUCUCUUUGGUUUGUUACCAUUUUUCGUUUGGUUCGGAUGUAAGCAAGAACUAGUUAUAGCGGGGAUAGGUAUAAGUAUGGAUUUUAGUAGGAACAAGGAUAUUUUUUUAUUUGGAUGAAAAUGUAAGUAUAAGCUGGAACUAGAAAAAUUGUGUUAGGAUAAAAAUGUAACUAUAAGGUGGAAUAGUUGGUAGUUAUAAAUAGAAAAUAAUGAUAUUACUCCUAUAAUUGAAUUUAAAUUUUUAAAUUUUAAACUUAUAAUUUUAUAUUGAAAAUUUUGAACAAGCUUGUUCCCACCCAUACCCGAUAUGGGUACGCGGGUGGGAACAAGCUUGUUUCCACCGACCCAAAUGGUGUUUGGGUACAAGAGAGGGAUAACCCCUUUAUCCCCCUUCUUAUAUCCAAUCCAAACACCUCCUUAGAAUUAAAGAUAUCCGUGGACGAGGUCAGAUCUAGAUAGUUGAUAUACUAUACCCGUACCCUAAAAAAAUAUGGAUACGAAAAAAAAAAACUAUACCCUACCCAUUUGACUUCGGAUCGGAUCCGUGUCUAGGUACUUAAAUUACUAAUAUACCCAUCGGGUCUAUUUGAGCGGAUCUAAAUAGUAACUAUCCGUAUACUAUUCGCUUAAAAUCAAAUACGGCUCGGAUUUAGAUCGAGUACGGAUACCCAUAUACAUAUAUUUUUAAUUUAUAAGUCCUAUUGAAAUUGAUUCCUCAACUUCAAAUUUUUUUAUUUACUAUCGGGUAUUUCACUGGUUCCAAAUCUGAAUCUGGUUCCGGGUCCGAAUUUGAAAUAUCUUCCGGACCCUACUCAUUAAAAGGUUGGGUUCGGGUCCGAUCAAAGUCGGGUAUGGAUAUAAACUAUCCGGAUCCAUACCCGGAACUUAAAUGAAUAUUUUUUUACCUAUAUACCAUCCAUUUUUUAUCAGGUCCGAUUCGGAUCCGAGUAGGGUCUAAAUAGGAUACAGUAUAUCGAAUAUUUUGGACAGCUUUACUUAGGAUUGAGAUAAAUACACUAGCCAACAAUAUAUAUUUUGCUUUAGACUUUUAAUUGAAAUGCUAAAAUACAAAAUCCUUUUGUAAGUACCUAAUUUUUCACCUUUUUUAUUUUAAAAAAUCGACAAUUUAGUCUCUCNAACAAUUAAUAAAAAUAAUUUAUUAUAAUAAAUUUAUAAUUUUUUUAAAAUUAUACUUAAACUUAAAUUUAAUAAAAAAAUUUAUUAUAAUAUUUAAAUAUAAAUAAUAUGUAUUAAUAUAGUACAAUUAAUGAUUUUAUAAUAAAAAUAAUGUAUUAUAAUAUAUAACAUAUAAUAUUUAUAUAAUUUAGUUUUAAUUCAAUUUAUAAUUUUAAAUAAGUUUGAAAUUAAGUAUUGGAAUAGCACUAGCAAAUCCUUGCUAUUCCGGAAUAACCGGAAAUAGCAAGGUUUGACCGGGAUAAAAUAUUCCGGUCAAAUUUUAUCCCGUUUGGCGGAAUAGCAGGGAUAAUUUUCGUUAUCCCCGUAUCACAAAUAUGUUUCUUCAAAAAAUAUAACAGUAUAAUAUAAGAGAGAUAAAGUUGUCAAAAACUAAACAAGAUUAAGUAUUUAAUCCAUGGUUAACUAAAUUUUUCUAACAAAUUUUAACGACAGUGAUAUAUUUCUAAAUAUCAGAAUUUUUGUAAGAAUCAUAUAUAAAAAUUAAAUUUUAUAGAAAUAUAUUUGUUAUUUCCCUGUAUUUAUAGAAAUAUGUAUGGAAUUAAUCCUAAAAAUUAUUAUUAUUAAACACCACCUCAUUCUCCUCUCUUUCUACUCUGGCGUAGAAAUCUCCAUAGACUCGAAUCCCAACAAUAACGGCGCUUCCUUAUCCCUAGCGGUAAUCUCACUCUUACUCUCACCGCCCCAGCUGUACUCCCCAUCCAAGGCGGUGACCACACCGCACCCCACCCCACCCGCCUAUAUAUAUGUGUAUGUAUGUACACGCCGCAUUUGUACCCUGUGAUCUGGUUCUCCGACGACGACGACGACGACGACGACGACGACGACGACGACGAAACCCUAGCGAGCUCCGACAAUGGCGACAUUGCUCCCUCUCCUCUUCCUACUACUACUAUCGCCCGAUCUCCUCUCCUUCGCGCAGAUCUCGCUCCCUCCCUCCGCCGAAGCCCCUUCCCUUUCCCUCCCCCCGUCCGCGUCGGCCCCUUUCUCACACCUCUCGCCCCCCUCGCCGCUUCCACACUCGCCCUACUCAUCCCCCGCGCCGUCUCCGACACCGCCGGGGCCAUCGCCUUCCCCAUCGCCGGCGCCGGGGCGGGAGGAGAUCAAGGCCGGGGGAGGCGGCGGCGAGGCGGAUCAGGGGGAGGACGACAAGGGGGGAGGAGGAGGAGAGGAGCGCAAGGGGAUGAGCGCGGGGAGGAAGGCGGGGAUCGUGGUGGGGGUGGCGGCGGCGGCGGCGGCGGUGGGGCUCGGCGCCGCCGUGUACAAGAAGCGCCGGGACAACAUCCGACGUUCCCGCUAUGGCGGCGGCGGCGGCGGCGGCGAGUACUACGGAGGUAGGGUUGAGAUGAUUUGAUCUCCUCCUCUUCGCCUUCGUGUUCUUCGUCUUCGUCUUCGAUCUCGGUCGCAUAGGUUUUUGUUAUGCGUUCGUUCGUCUGCUCGUUUUCGGAUCUUUUCUACUGGGAGUGGACGAUGAGAAAAAAAAAAAAGGUACGCUUAUUUAAUAUUUUCAUCGAAAUUAUUUUUGAUUCGUUAGCUAUUACUUGAGAUGUGGUGUAGUGAAAGUGGAAUUUAUAGGGUUUAUUACUAUUGUUAUUAUUAUUAUUUUGGCAUAUGAAUUUGAAAUUUCGUUGGGAUCAGUUUAGAUCUGAAUGGUGGAUUACAAUUAUACAGGUUCUUAAUUGUGACGAGUUAUUCCUUUUUGUUAUAUAUUUACUUAAAAAAGAAAAAAAACAGAAUGAGUUAUUAUGCGCUCCCUUUGAAUGAUGUGAAUGCAAGGUGGGCGGAUUAUUAGGCACGUGAGACGCAUGUUAGGGGAAUGUGGAAAUGCUUUGUGUGUGAGUGUGUUUGGGUGUGAUUUGUUCAUCAGUUUUUCAUUUUCAUCCCCACUUGUUUAGUGGUGUUAUUAUUUUAUUAUUAUAAUAAUAAUUAGGAUAGAUUGUUGUUUUGGUCUUCAAACUUUGAAAUGAGUAAUAACUUUGUUUUCAAACUUUAAUUUUUUUGUUAUAAUUUUUAUUUAAAAAUUUUAAAUUAUUAUAAUUAAAUUUUAUAAUUUAACUUAGUUGACUAUAUAUUAAUUUUUUUCCAACAAAUUAAAGCUUACAUGUCGAAAUGUCGCUCACCCUAAGGAUUGAGGACGAAAAAGUAUUAUUAUUAUUAUUGCUGUAACUUAUUUUGCUCGUACCGUUCAGAAAAACUUUGGUUUACGAGGGAACUCAUCUAAAUUAAGAUAGUUUGAUUAAUAUUAUAAUAUAUCAGAUAAAGCAAUUUACUUCAAUCAAUUGGAUGAACUGUUCAUCAUCUGGGUACCAACUGUAGCAAUAGAUACUGCAUUUUAUUCAAUUUAUUUUAGAAAGCAUAAGUUUGUAAUUGGGUUGAAUUGUCGGGUUUGGGACUUAAUCCGACCCAAUUUACAACCCUACUUGGACCAUAAGUAAACCCUCUUCUCUUUGAGUGUACGUGUUAGCUAACCCAUCAACCGAAGUGAAAUAGUGUGCAUUAGAUUUGGGUUGGGUCUCACCAUAAAUUAAUAAUAGAAUCAUGGACCUCUGAUCGAAGAGUUACAGGUGCAUUCCAUUAAAUUUGGUAGGUAUUUGUUGAUUGAAUUUGAUUAUUUUCAGCGAAUGCGAUUCUUUACUAAUUUGUUUGGCGUUACCUUUUUUAUAUUAUUAUAUAAUAUAUUUCUAUUCUUCCAAUGAGUUCUACAUUUUGCAUAGAUCACUUUAGUCACUCUAAUUGUUCAGAUUGCUAAUUAAAAAAGAUCUUAAAACUAUUAGGACGUCACAUAUUCUUCCGUUAGGAUUUCUUCGUCAAUCUCAAUCAUGCAUGUACUUUAGGAUUACAAUAAUAAGAUUUGGAACUAUGACAUUACAUGCGAUUUACUUUAUGCCACUCGGUUAGUUUCAAUCACGCAUAUAGUUUAAAAUUAUGAGAUUUAGAAUGAUAUGAUGACAUGAGACCUAAUUCUAUGCGGUUGAUAAUUUAGCUCUGAUAUCAAAUAUGUCGAUCCAGUAACUAACUUAAUUCUAAUAGCCUAUUGAAAUAAUUAAGCCAGAUUAUUAAAUCCAAGUCAGGUGCUGGAAUACUUAACCAAGCGUUGCGAGAUGUGAGAUGUUCACUCGGUGCCAAACAAUGUCUCUUUCUUCUGUCCAAGAUGGUAUUUUAUGGUCAUGAAGCAUUUGGUUAGAAAAUAGGGAUAGAAAUAGUCCCUUAUCCCUCUUUAAUAUCCAAACGUUAAUUUUUUAUUCGAGAAUAAUAAUUCUCGGUUAUCCUCACCAACACCUUUAUUUUCUAUAUAAAACUAUCUAAAAUUAUUUUUAUCCCCGGAAACAAUCCAAUUUUCAUUCAAACACUAUUUUUCUUAUCCCUAUACUUGUAUCUAUCCCUAUAAUAGCUAGUUCUUACUUAUGCCUGAACCAAACGGUAAAUGGCAGUGUACCCUUAAUUCAACCCAACAAAAAAAAAAAAAAAAAGGUGUGGAAAAAUAACUAUUUUUUGAAGUUCAAAAGAGUCCACUUGUUUACACCCGUUAGCCUAGUUGAUCCACCAUGUGCGCGUGUUUUCAGAAAUUUAAUCUUUGAAAAAAGCGUAUGAACAAUAGCUCAUUUUCCUUGUACCUAACAAAUUGCUAAACCAUUUUUUUCUUUUUUCUUUUCUUUUUUUCAUCUAGUGUUAUAAACUAUUGCAUUAUGCAUGGUGACUAACCAAAUUAUAGCACAUUUUAAAAUGGCCGGGCAAGUAUACAAUUUUGUAUGAGCAUUCUCUUAAUUAAUUUUUAAUUUUCCGAAGAAAUAUAUGGAAUUCACUAACUCAAACUGUGAGUCUAAUUAUUUUUUAGCAAUUUAUUGGACCUUCCAUUGCACCAAAGAGUUGAAAUAGAUUAAAGUGGCAGAGCACGUUUCUUCCAACGAACUCGACAAAAUGAGGGAUUGAGAGUGGAGUAAAUUCCGGGAUUGCUUCUAUCAAACCGCUGCUAUUCAGUACAAACCUGACCAUGGACCUGUUUGUUUGUUUGGACUUCAGAGGUUAAACUCGUGAUUUUGAAAAAGUCACAGAUAUUGGUGUUUGUUUCGGUACCGAAGUUGCAAGAUCACUCCCACUCCCCGAUGGGUCAUUCAACUUCAGUAGCAUUGGCGGCGUGGGGAAGGCGAUUUCACGUGAGUCGCAAAUUCCUCGCUCUCCGACAAUCCACUUCCAAAAGGCCUCUUAAACUUGCCAACAAGUCCCAGGAAAAGCCUAAGACUAUAUUUUAGAUCAUCUAUAUACAGAUUAACAACUAACUAAGAUGGUCAGCUUCUUGAACCUAAUUCGAAUGAUCAAUUCACUGGUUGGUGCAUACCGGACAUUAAAGCUUGCGAUUGCGAAGUCUUGCUACGUGUAUUGGAUCGUCCCAAGAACAAAAGAUAUUAGUUGAGCUAUCGAGCUCAGGCGCCAACCAACUGUAGUUUAGCUGGUUAAAGACUUAAUUUGAAACUGAUCUGCUUUUAUUGUUUUUAAAGGCCCAAAAAUCCCAAAAUUUUGAAGUGUUUUUAAUCUUCUAUCCUCCAAUGCAUAAAGAUUAGCUACACAUGCCUAGAUACGGAGGUCUAGUAAAGGGCCUAGAGAAAAACUCAUAUUUAUUGCAUAAAGAUAUUACCUACAUAUGCCUAGAUAUGGAUUCGGAUUGGUUUAGAUGUUAAGACUAGAGAGAGUAAUGUUGAAGAGAGAGUUUAGCUACUCAAUAGGUAUUAGGGUCAUGAGGAAUGGUACGAUUAUUGUUUCGGAUCAUUGGUGCUAAUCAUUAAUUACAAAAAUCCGAGCUGUUAGAAAAAUGCAACCAAUUCAAAGCAUACAGAUACAACAUCCAAAAAUCUCGAUUAUGAUUCGGCCAAAUAAGUCUCCUGCCACUUCGAACAUGACUUGGCCCAAUCCGACCAGCCACCAUUUCCAACAUGAUUCGAACUAUAACUCAGUCUCCCGUUAUAGGGCAGGAUGUUGGCCCUUUUAAGUCAACAGAUUGAAUUUAACGAACGAGAUUUUCCAGUAUAAUCGCAACCUCUCAGGCGGGAUUUGAUAAUUCGACCCAACAAGAUCAUCUGAUCUACCCGAUUCAUUUCCCAAACUCUCACGAGCCCCAACACCUCUGAAUCGCUAACCCCUCAUCCAACAUCGCUCAACACGGUUUUAUCCAAUCCAAUCUAAUCCCAAGAGUAAGACCCUCUAUUAUAAACUGCAGCGACAAUGGCAUACGCAUGUAGAGAGCAAAUUUUUAUGCAUAAACAUCAUCUGUGCCUUACUGCUCUAAUUCAUAAAUCGGAGAAUCAUUUGAGUUAUUCGUGACUCGGAAUAAAUAAAUUUUACGUAUAUCUAUUCUCGAAACAGAUCAACUAGCAAGGACGGAGGAAUAACUCUUAGGAAACAAGAAAAAAGCCGCAGUUUUACCUCUCAAGAAGCAUGACCAUCUCGCAGUGAGGAGUGUGAGGGAACAAAUCGACGGCCAUCGCCCUAACAGGCUGGAAUGGCUCGGAAUUAGGCAUGGAUUUUGUACGGUACCUAGCGAGACCGGCACUGCUCAUGUUCCGCCACCCUCUAUUGCCUUUCUUCUUCUCCGGUCUGUCGGCAGUUGGCGUGCAAAGCUCGAUUGCGUUCGCCACCAAGCUCUCCGGAUUGCACGAAAUAUACCUAGUGAAGGAGAAAAAUAGAAAUGUCAAAAAAAGUAUCUUUGAAAUACAUUAUCAACAAAAGUCUUAUACAUGACUAUGGAAAACUAUAAAUUUCUUCUUAGGGAGCUAAGAUGUGGCGCUUACACAAGUCGCCGAAUACGUGGAUGAGUCCUAAGAGCUUUGAUCACCUGGAAAUCAUUGGAAGUGUGAUAUUAAUAUUACCCGAACAUGCCAAUGUGCAAAAUGAAAUACUCGCUGACAAUGAGCAACUUUAAUUCCUUCGUUAAUCAUAAACAGAAGAUUUUUACAAUAAAAGAAGCAGAACUGCAACAAAAAGGUGCAACAUGCACAGAGUUACCAAGAAAUUACCACAGGGUGAAGUCCAACUCGUGGAGGAUCAACGAUAGCAACAACUUUCUUGAACUGGCGCACAGAAGAAACAUCUGCCACUCCUUUCUCUUCGGAAACAUUGUUGCGCUCUGAAGUGUUCUCCUGAAUGGUGUUGCCGAGCCCAUUAGUGCAACUUCUCAAGAUUCCAUCAUUAUUUUCAUCAUCUUUUUCAAUAUUCCCAUGACUUUCUUCAGUGCUGUCUUCCAUUUUUUGGUCGUUCUUAUCCUCCAAACUUGCUGGCACAUCCUCACCACUGUUCUCUGUGGCAUUGUUGUCUUUCUCUAUGGUAUCAGUUUCUGAGACAUCAUUAGAAACUAUGCUAUCCUGCUGAGGUGCUCCAAGAUACUCUUUGAGCAGAGACCCCAUCACAUCCUCUGCCUGUUAAUACCCAUCAUGGAAAUAUAAGAUUAUUUCCGCAAUAAAAAGAAUGAAGCUGAAGUACUUUGAGAGAAGAAUACAUCAAAUGCCGUGACGUUGAGAACUAAUCUCUAAGUUUUAACACCACAAAAUCACGAAACAUUUUACUUAUUCCCUCUAUGGGAGCAAAAAGUCUACUUUUAAGUGUUCAAUGACAAACAAAAAUACUCUUGAUUAGGCAUGAAAUGCCUAACAUUGAAUUUGUAAUGCACAAACUUGAAAUUUUACUAACUAGACACAUAAUCACAAGGCAAGCCCAAAAUAUUAGACGUUAGCUAUAAAUAUCACAAUGAAUUCAGUUGCAUUUCUCCAAAUAAUAAUUUGCUUCUGUAUUGGAGUCAUCCGGAAGAUAUUCUUGGUAUUGAUACAAUCAAAUUCUCAAACUCAUGGGCAGACUCAUUAUUUUUACACUAGAUUUCGGAAAUAAAAUCACGUGAACAAGUAAUAUAAACUGCUAGCAGGUGAUAUUAUUGUACUAAAAACAUGUUUGACAACAUAUGGUAAAAUUACAUAUAAGGUUCUCCUUCAUUCUGCUUUCAUGCACAAAUAAAUAUAAACCUAUCUUUGAGUAAUGUUCAAAAAAACAUAUCAACUGACUCUAAUGAAAACGGCUAAUAUGUAUGUACGCCUUUUCCUUUUCCAGUUUUCCUAUUCCAUCAUCUUCCUCAUGCACUUACUUUGAAAGCAUCCAAAAUAACACAGUUCACAACAGCAACUAGAAACUAAGAGAAUGAAUUGUUAUCAUUCUCUCCACAACCGAUACAGCAAAGCAAGUCAAAAGUGAAUCCUUGGGAUUCCAAAAUUAGUAACUUACAUAGCAUCAAACCGAAAAAAAAAAAAGUUGCAGUUAAGGAAAAGAAACUCCUAAGAGUAAAACUCACCUUUCCAGACACAAACCUACAAUUUUUUAUGCCAUUAAUCACUGCAUUUCUCUUUGCAUCUGAUACCGCUGAUUCAUUCAUUUCAAUGCCAACAACCUGCAUACGAAUAGUAGAAAUUUAUCAAUCGGAAUGAACAAUCAAGAACAAAUUACAAGGAAAUCUCACCACCUCUGAGAUCAAUAUUCUAGCUUCAAGAUACAGUUAAGAUAGUAAACAAACUACUAAGGUUAUGCUGCACAAAAUAUGAGGCUCCAUAUUGAGCAGAUGAAAUGAACUGAUCAUUCUACCGAGACAAAUUAGAAAACUACUAUAAUAUUAUUUGUGACAAAUAAACCAGAGGGAAUAUUAGGUUUCUCAUACAUGCAGCAAAAGUACUGCCUAAGGCAGCUUAAAUUAGAACCACAAAAUCACAUUCACAAAACAAAGGGCACCAGAAAAAUGAGUGGUUCCAAUGUAAACAACCGAAUGAUGAAAGUGAAUGAGAUCUUCUAGCUGUGUUGAUAAGAAAGCAAAUACUAAGAAAAGACAAACCUGCAAUUUUAAUCAAAGAUUUAGCCCAGGCCAGAGAGGCUACUUAAAAGUGGGGGAAAGAAAAAUCAAAGAUGAGUACCAUUCCAACACGGUGUGCUAAAGUAAGGCCAAUAGCUCCUGUCCCACAACAUAUGUCAAAGAGCAAUGUAUCCGGACUCAGGUCAGCCCAAUCACCAGCAAGGCUAUACAACCUUUCUGCAGCAAGAGUAUUAACCUGUAGACUUGUGAGUGGAAAAUGCACAUUUUUCUAAUCAAUCAAAAAAAAAAGCGACUCAAAAGAAUAUAGUGGAGUUUCUAACUUGAAAGAAUGCUGUUGGUGAUAUAGAGAAGCGGAGAUUGCUUAUGUAAUCAUGAAUCCUUCCUUCAGCGAUAUCAAGCUUUUCUGAACUAGCUUGUCCUUCCAUUUUUGGCACCAGUAGUGGAAUCAACGGACAAUCAGCUGGUGCGGCAUUUGAUAUUCCUUUGUGAUCCUGCAUGAUAAAUAUUAAGUUCUCAUAGCAGUAUCAAUAAAAAGUAAGACUCAGAAUUAUCCUUCUAACAUUGAAACAAGUCUGAAAACAAAAUGGAGAGAAUUAUUCUUCUAAAAGUGAGAGCCCACCUGCACAAUUAUGGUUGUUAGAGGUAGUGGAGGAGCUGAUGCAGCUGCUCCGUGUACAAGAGCCAUGGACAACUUGGCAAAUUCAUUUUUCAUCACAUCUUCAUCAACUUCCGUGGAACAGACCUGCAUAACAGUAGUAACAUAAAUUCAUAAUGCAAGAUAAAAUGACUAAACAUGUUCCAAAGUUGAGGCCUUUAAAAGUUUAUUUUAUUUUACAUUACUGAAUUGUGUUUUUCUUUAUCAGAGAAUACAUAGAAUUUUCUGCCUCCAACGAAUUACUUGAGAAAAAAAUUUUGAUACAUUAAUGGAGAGAUUUGUACAUGUAUAUAGUGCAAUGUGCGGAAAAACAAUACCUAAACUGUACAAAUUUGAGCUUUUCCAGUAAGAUGAGUUAACCUGAAUGAUAAGCAUGACUUCUGCUAUUUGGAUCUCGGCAUUUUCAGCAGUAGCAAGUUGACCAGGAACCCUUCCCUCUCGGACCUAAUUAGGAACUCCAAGAGAAUAAGAAUCUGCAAUCUCAUCUCAAAAAGAUGUAAAUAAUUAUGCACUUCCAAACUGUAGAAAAGCAUACCGUAAAUUGACGCCAAAAACCAGUGUUAUCGGUUCUGCUCCACACAGGUAAGGCGGAGGACUGCAGGAAAUCUUGAAAGAUUGAAGCAUACUUUGAGGAAACUCUAGACACAUUUGGGCAGUUCACAGGUUCCUCGAUUGCUGUCAUACCCUCCCUUCAGUCACAUGGUAACUUAAUACCUAUUAGUAACUAUACAAGACUAUUGCUUCACAUGAAACAGGGAAAAAGGUGAUAAAGUGACCUGAAAUUUCCAAGCAUAAACCCCACUGUUCGUUUGCCCUCUAAUGAAUAACCCACAGAAAACUCACAUUUGUUGCGGUAUCCGUUUAUCACCGGUGACUCUAGUAUGCCUUCAAGCUUGCAUGGAAGGCCACCUAGAUGAUUGAAAAAGGCUAUUUACUCCAAUGUUAUGUGACAUGGGUAAUAAAGAAAAUAGAACAAUUUCAGUUGUGCAAUAUGACCAGAUGUAGUAAAUAUUCAACUUUGAAACGCGUCACCCUACCGCAGAAAUGUUGUGUAAUGACAAUAAUAUGCAAAUAUCAAACAAAUGCAAAGUUGUUUUACCACAUACAUACAUGAAAAUUUAUUAAGACAAUUUAUCUAAUAAUUAUUAUUAAAUGAUCUGCCACUUAUGGACGCCUAUGUAGAUUUUUUAUGUAGAAAAAUGCCCACAUUGUAUUCAUGAAGAGGAUAUAUGCCAAGACGAUACAUCGAGUCAAUGGACAUUACCUAUCUCCCUAGAUUUAAUAAUCCAAUCCGGAAGUGGAACACCAUCUGGACAAGCCUUCCGAGCAUUCCGAGUCUACAAUGAAAUGGAAAACCAAGAAACUCAUAGCCACACAAGCAUUAAGAUAUAUUCAAGAAUUGUGAAAUAAAAUAUGAGGCAUAUUAUAGAUUACAUAGUUUUUACACAACAUAAUCCACAUCCAAAAGACACGAAACUAUCUCACCAGUCGCUUUAGGAUUUGGAGCAACGAAUUCUUUUUGUGCUCCAACUGAUCACUGUAGGGCAUAUGAGCAAGUGGAGUGACCACAUCACGGGCACUUUUUGUUCUCGAAGACAAACCUUCCACGGCAGAAGUUUCUUCAUUGUCACUUCCCGACUGAUUAUCAGCAUGCUGCCCUUUGUUUUGAUGAGAUUUACGGAUGGCAUCUGCAACCUUUAUUUCCUUUCCACCAUUGGACUUCUCAUUCAAAAUCUACAAAUAAUUCAAAAGUGAAAGAAAAUUACAGACUUUCCACAAAUCCUCAACCUGUCCAUUAAGUACAAAAGACUACCUCAAUAGUGCUUUUGAGCUGUUCAGUAUUCUCAAAGGUCACAAAACCAACAGACAUUCCCUUCUUCUUUUUCAUUGUCUUAUACGAAAUUCCCUGAAAAAAGUAGUAAGCUUUGGUCACAAUCCCAUAUAAAUAUGGAAAGCUUGAGCUUGUUGAAGUUGUGAUAAAUAAAGGCCUAUGGCAAUGUUAUAUCAAAGUAUGAUUCUAUGAUCAAUCUCGAAGACAGUAGAGAUUCCUAGAUAAGAUAAUAACAGAAGAUAAGUAAGAUCUACUUAUACUGACAUAACAAAGAGACUAUGACAUAGCAGGCUAAAGCUGUUUCCUAAAACUGAAUACACUGUAAGACAUGAAACUAUCCUAAAACUGUUUUCCUUCAUUUUUUGUUUGUACUGAAAUUGAACUAUCAUCAACUGUUAAACCUAAACUUGCAAAAUGAAACACUUUCUAGGUUUUUCUUAUUUUACUCAUCAUCUUACCAGUUUCUAGCUUUGCCAAUUCCGUCGAUUUCAAUGGAUUUGGAAGCAUUUGUGGCAUUUCACAUAAUACGUCCAAAACCCACCAUUCAUAAUAUUGAAUUUGGUGAAAUUUCACUUGCUCUUUAGUUAUUAAUAUCCUUAGUCGAAAAAUGCUUCUUCAUAGAAUAAUUCUAUUAGUUCUGUCACUAUUUAAUGAACAACAGAUAUGUUAGGAAAAAGUAGACAUAUUGAAAUGAUUUCCCAUCCCUUCCAAUUGAAUCAAAUUGAGAUAUUUCGAACCGAAAUCAAUAGAAUUCUCUUCAUAUUUGAUUCCAAGGAGCCGAUUUUCCACUUGCCUGAUCAUCAAGGAACCUCUUCAACCCCUCGGAGUUCCACUUCCUCGGGAGGCCGAUGAGGCACUUGUCGAGCGACGCCUCGUCCACCGUCGGCGCCUCCUCGCCUUUCUCCUCAUCAGCUUCUUGGCGCGGAGGGAGGUGGGAUCCCAGGUGUUGUCGGGGCGGGGACGGAGCUCGGCCUCGCUGUGCGCGUAGCGGCACGCGUCGCCGUGGCUACAUCCGCGGCCACCGCCGCCGCCGCCGCCGCCGCUGGGGUUCCGGCGCCGGUAGUACGAGCACAAGCUCGUCUUCCACAAGGGGUUCUUCCUCUUCGUUGUCUCCGCAUCCUCUUCUCCCUCCUCCUCCUCCUCCUCCUCCUCCUCCUCCUCUUCCCUCUUUCGCUUCUCCAAGGAGGAGGUGGGUUCGGCGGCGCCUCCUCUCGCGUGGGCGCCGCAUCGGUCUCCAUGGGAUCGAAGUGUUGGGGUUUUAGGGGCUCUGACGCAAAAUCCCCAAAUCCUAUUUUUUUGGUUAUUACAGGGUCGAACCUGGGUCGAACCUGGUCCCACAACUCAGUAAAUUUAUGCUCUGUUCGUUUAUUGGAAACUAAUUCUCUGAAACCAGAGUUUGGAUAAAAAUUAAUUUUUUACUAUGAUUUGUUUCGUAGAAAGCCAAUAAUAGCUUUAGAACUGUAUUUGUCCUACUUUUUAUAUUUGUUUAAUCAAAAAUUUUCAUAUUAGCAUAUAAAAGUGUGAAAAGAAGUUACAAUAAUUAAUUUUUAAUUUUUUUCUCUUCUUUGCACUUUUUCACUUUGGUACACUGUAAUUUAAAGUGUAUCGAUUUAAUACCCCACAGUUUUAUUUUUCUCUUUUUAUUAUUUUUUAAUUAUUUUUUUAUUAAAUUAGUGAUAAACUUAAAACUAAAAAGUACUUAAAAAAAUAUUUGAUAAAUCUAGGUGGAAUAUCUGAAAUUUUUUGUAUAUAAUUUAACGAAAUAUUAACGAAAGAGCUAACGAAAAGAGAAAAAUAAAAUUACAAGAUACUAAAUUAAUAUACUUUAAACUAUAUGAUACUGAAAUGAAAAAGUACGAAAUUACAUGGAUGGUAUUUAAAAUUUGCCCUAAAUUUUAUUUAUGACGAAGCCAACAAUAAAAGUAGGCAUUUUAGGCAUUUUGGCUCGAUUGGUUAGAGAUUUAAUGCCCUUUACUUGUACUUACUAUUAGAUUAUCCUUUCUCUUCGUCAGAUUAUCCUUAAGAAGCAGCCACACAAAUAUCGUCAUCUUCACUGAAACUACGAGUUUUCAUAUCUGGAUGAGAGAUAACUGGUACUUCUUAUUUCACAGAUUGCACAAUUUCAAUCAUCACCUAACAUACUUAUUCCUCAUAAAUAAUACACUUUAAUUUGCAUUCUCAUAUCUAGAAAAUACACUUUGCUCCCACUGUUUGGUUAACUCGAUCACAAGCAUGCCGCUUCGAUCGCGAGGCUCUUCGUGACCCCUCUACACGGAUCUCCAAACAUCUCGGUCGACACUCCGACGCUACAACUCCUCGCUCCAAGACAAGCCUACAAAGAUAUUUCACAAACCAAACUUAAGAACAAAGAAUUUUACUUUCAUUUGCCAAAUGCCUAACUUCUACUGUUGCAGAUACAAUACAUAUAUAUAUAAUAUAUAUGUACCUCUUGAACGACGGCAAGGGUGGUAGAACUACUGCAUUCGCCGUGGCUGUAACUUCCGCAUGCACCAUUCGGGGUCCCGAAGCUUGCAAACUUGAUUGCGGAGAUGACCUGGUUCGGGUUCGGGCACUCCAAUCGGACCAUCGGACCGGGCCUCCCCAUCUUCUUUUCUGGAGUCAUAAAAGCAUCUACUGGGGCUGGAUGUAGCUCGGAAACAUGUGCACACAAACUCCCACUCUGCUUAACCGCGAAAGAUAUUUUAGUCGGGUCCCCGCCAACCUCCUCGAAAAGAACCAAAUCAUUGCUUCCCGAUCGGAGAAACGACCGAGGAACGUGAUACCUGCUUAUAUAUGUUUUGUUCACAUUAAUUUAGCUCAUUUCAUGUGUUCUGAUUACAAAUUUUUGUUCUUAAGUUGGACCGGCGAUUUCAAUUUCAUCCCUAAACUUCAGCAGCAGUUGAAAUUUUCCCGAGAGUUUCAACUUAACAAAGGGAAGUCCAUGACUGGCGCAUUUCAUUUGGUAGGGUAAAAGAGAGUACUUAAUUAUUUCGCUGAACAAAUUUCGAGGAUGAAACUACUAUGUUGGAACUAAGAAAUUGACAUCCAGGUUAAACUUACAGAGAGUAAAUUCGCGAUAAACCCUGAAAACAGAAGAUCGACAGAUAAUAGAAAUUCUUACAUAGUUUGAGAAGGUUUCCCGCAGUUCUUGAGGCAUUUGCCAGAAUUGUAGGUUCCUUUGUAGCUGCAAGAGGUGACGCAACCGUUCGGCGGAGCGAGGUAAGUGGGCCAAAACCGGCCAAUACUCUGCCCGUUCACCCAUGCCUCUCCUUUCCCCAUGCCCGUAAAGUCUAUCGCGACCGGGCCAUCACCCUCUGGGGCAGCAAACUUUGUCUGCGUCAUUGGAAGGACGUGAUAAGUUCGUCGAUUAUGUAUCAUAAUCUUGUUAGUCUAGAGUAUAAAAUAACUUUAAACAACAAAUGUGGGAGGACGGUAGAGACGCCAAACACCGACCUUGUACCAUAUCAGAGGUUGAUUCAUCGGCAAGGUAGAAUCUGAGACCCAUUCAGAAGAAUCAUCAGAAUUCUCAUAUAGCUGCGAGUCUUCCCCUUUAAGUCCAAUCUGCAUAAGUAAAAGUAAACCGUGAAUUCAAGAAUAAUCUUAACAAUAGAGACAUAAGCUAAAUAGACCGGCAUAUUACGAAAUUAUUUGCGUAAGUAACCCACUUAAUUCGGAAACAAGGUGAUGGAACUGUUAUUAAUGUACUAUUGAACAACCUGGUAUGUCCACAGUUUUGAAGAUAAAUCUAAUGUGCCAUUUGGUCCGCUCAACUUUACCGGACCGGUAACUCCAGCACCCGAUAAAUCAAAGAAUGCCCCAUAAUUCUGAAAAAUAUAAAGAACAAAACGAAUUCAAAGAGAAGAUUAGUAAAAAAAAAAAAAAGCGAAAUAAAUAGGGGGGGAAAAAUGAUUCCUUUGAAGGGAGGUUAAGAAGAACCUGUAGACCAACAGUGGCGCUUAAAAGAUCCAUAGUGUUCUUUCCUGGUGCGAGCGUAAUAAGCUUCUGUACUGCAACUGCUGCAUUGCUACUGCUUCCCAUCCCACUAGCUGAAUAAACGUUACAACAAUGAAAUUUUAGAUGCUAAAGUUCAAACAAUAAAAUGCAAACCUUUUUCAGUUUUUCGUCUCAGAUUCAAUUUAUUCAGUUCAACAUGAAACGCAUUACCUGACAAUUUUCCGUUGACAAAAACUCGAAGGACGUGACCAAGUGAGUUCACGAGGAGAUUAGAUUGAGUUCCAUUUAAAAGAAACGGCUCAUUGCCGGUGAUCUCAAUGCUGCAAGAAUACCAUUAAAACCCAUUGAGUAGUCAAUGUUAAUCCGAGGAUAAGCAUUCCACGUAAACACGAUGACGACACAAGAAAACUAGUAAAGAAUAAUCCUCUUCACCUUGUUGAAUACCAUAGAUAAUCACUCGCAUCUGCAGUAGUAUUUAUUUGCUCUAGCAAUCCAGUUUUUGUGAAGGCAUCGGCCUUUGAGAUACCAACAGGUUCUAUUACAUAGCUCCAUUGUGAUUGUGGUGUCCCAGAGGAAUCAAGAGAAUCGUCAGAGGUUUGAUUGUAGGAAUUUAGAUACCUCAUCUCCGCAGAAGAGGUUUGGGAGUUUAUCUGCAGAAAAACAAAUUUGAUCAGUUCAAGGCGUGAAAUACUGCCUUUUGUUUAUGUCGUGAAACAGAAAGUUUCCAGAAAAAAAGUAUUGAGAUAAAAACAUGAAUAGAUGUUCAGCAGAAAGCACAAAGUACCACCUCACUUGGACGUCUGCUACGACACUCUACAAGUGCGAGCAUAAACAUGAAUAGUUAUUGAACAAUUCAAAUUACAAUAUAAUACCUGAGCGGUAUUGAAUACGACAUUCUGGCAGUCGGGUAAGAUGCUCACAGACCACGCAGGUAGAUGAUAUGACUUCCCGUUAAAAGUAACAGUUGCAUCAGAUUGGCUGUCGAUAUUCGCAAGAAAUGCUGUGCAAGCCCCUGCUGUCUUAUACACAUGAGCCUAAAGAAGAAAAUAAAUAAAGAAGAAGAAUUAAAAAUAAGAGAAAUCAUAACCGUUAUGUUCAAAAAUGCACCUAGAAAAAACAAAUAUAUAUAAAAGGAGUCAUAAAACAAGACAAUUAGACACCAAUUUCCUGCCUAUAGUAUCGUAAUUCUUUGGACUAUGAUGAUAUUCAAAAUGAAAAUGCAGUAAAAUGAACUAAAGCAUGCUAAAUGUCAUGCACGCAAACCAGUGUUUUGAGACACUGGUAAUAAUAGUGAGACAAGUACUAAAUUCAAAGGAAAAAAUUAACAAAGGAAAAAGAUUUUCCAAAUUGUCAAAUAAACAUACUUUUGAAAUUAAAUUAUCACUUUGUUCUAGUCUGUAAGAGUAUGGUUAUGAAAUACUGCAUUUUAACUACUACCUGUAAUAACAAAUCCAGUACAAACCAUCCAUAUUUUUUUAUCUUUGAGCCAGCCAAAGAUAUUACAAUUAGCACAUGAGUACAAAUUAUACGAAAAUCAAUGAAAAUAUAAAAAAAUUGUACAAAUUAUGCAUGAAAAUACAAUAAAAAUAAGGCACUAGUUACCUCCAGGUUUGUACCAAGAGAAGUAUAUGUUGGAUCAGUUGCUAUCAACGCAGCUUCGCAAAGCUUUAUUGAUUUGUGUAGAUCUCGUAAGUGACCCCACUUCGGCUGCCUAAUGAACCCUGCAAUCAAUAAAUGAAGAAAGUGAAAUAAAUGGAGACACAAAACCUUUCUGAAAAAUAUAUGACUUACAGUACCAGCAGGAAAUGUAAGAUAACAAGCUUACCAUACUCGUCUAUCGGAGCAUCAUAGUCAUAACUUGUCGAAAUAAAAGGUCCCCCUGAACUGCGGCCAAAAUUGGUUCCGCCAUGGUACUGACGAAUAGUGGAGAACGUUAUAACAAACAGGGAAAAUCGAACAUCUCUUAGUAUAACAAGGAAUAGAAAUCCUAACAUAGCAAGUUUUAACUACCAACUCAGAAUUGAUACCAUGUAGUAGUUUUGGAAUGUACCACCACGUUCAAAGAAUCGCGCAACAGCAAACGCAAUGUCUUCAACGGGUCUAUAUGGCACUGCACCGCCAAAAGAACGAUACCUAUUUAAACAAGAAAGAAUUAUAAACAACCUUGGCGAUCAUAUAUGAAUAUUGCGCCACUGGAGAUCCUCUGUUUAACAUGCGUGUAUCAAGACCUUAUUAGUAAGCUUCUCUUCGAAGAGAAUUGUUCAAUAUAAGUUGAUUUCCAUCAAACUUAUGCAAUUGGUGUAAAGCCCCUUACCAUCCGGUCCAGUUUUCCGUCCACAUCUUUGGUUUAUUGUUGGAGUUUGGAGUGAACUGAUCACAGUAGAAACCAUUGCAAGUGUUGAUCUGCAGAUUUUGCAUCGUGAUAAACACAGAUUAACAUCAAUAUAUGAACUCACUCCAUCACGAAUGGCAAAUUGCGAAUAGACAAAGAUAGUAAACAAUUUUGAUCAAAUCGGUAAAUAAGCUCGGGACAAAGUUUAUCCUCCUUGUAGCGAAGAUAUGAUCAGACAUGAAGCACUUACAACAGGGUCAGGAGCAUCAGCUUGCUGGCACAUUACCCAGGGAACGCCCGUGUCGAGUGACACAGCCAUCGAUGCAGCCCAGUUGAUGUACGUCUUUGCUGCAGGUCCAUAAGCCGAGUCGAUGUUUCCAUAUUCAUUUUCGAUCUAAAAACAAGUUGAGGACGCGCGAAAACAUUAUUUACAUCUGAGAAGCAACAGUAUAAGAUUUUCAACGAAGAUGAGAACUUUGAAGAGUAACCAAACCUGGGACAAGAUGAUGGGUCCGCCUUGCGAUGCAUAAAGGUUCUCCUGCUUCAUCAUAUCGACGAUCUUUGCCGUGAAUCUUUGCAUCUCUGCCUAGAAACAAAGAAGACCCAAAUAAGCUAAGAAUUUUGGUUUUUUUAAAAAAAAAAAUUUGUAAAACACAGGGUUAGAAUUAAAUAAAUGAACCUUGAAAGGCUCGUUGUCGGUCCUAAACUUGAUACCAGGGAUGAAAUGUAGCCAAACUGGGAAUCCCCUGCACCAAAUUAUAAACAAAUUAGAGAUAACAAAUUCACACAAAGAAAACAUACAAAAUUAUCAAAUUGGGUGAGAAAUUUAAUCUCACCCAUAAUUCCACUCGGCGCAGACAUACGGGCCAAUGCGGAGAUGAACAUAGAGUCCGGCCGCCGCGACCGUCUUUACGAACUUCACCAGGUCCUUUCUCCCCUCAAAAUCAUACUAUAUCCAUGCCGAAUUUCGUUAGAAAGUAACAUACAAAGAGAAUUGGAUUAACAUGACCAAAAAAUGUAAAGGGUCUCUAUAAUGAGAAUCAUGCCUGGUUUCUAACAGGUUCAUGAAGAUCCCAGAAAACAUAAGUCUCGAUAACGUCGAGCCCGCCGUCCUUCGAUUUCUGUAUCAGGUCCGGCCACAUCUGCACUCAACCAAUUUCCCCAUUCCACCAUUAGCAACUACACUCCACAACAGUAUAAAUUGGCUCUUUUAUCCCUAACAGGGACUAAGACUAUCACUGAGCCAUUUUGUUAUCUAAGGUCGUAGGUUCAAUUCCCCAUAUACAUACACUACUUAAUGACUUACGUCUGUCUAUCUGUCUGUCUAUCUGUACACGUGACAUAAUUUAUUUUAUGACGGUACGAAAAGUAUUUUUUGAGCCGUUUUCUAUUAGAUUGAUCUGAAAAGACACCUCACCUCGGGGGUGCUGCGAGGGUAGUGGAUGGAGCCGGAGACGAGGACGCGGCGGGCGCCGUCGAUGAGGAUGGCGCGGUGAUCGUAGCCGACGACGGCGGCGGCGCCUGCAGCGAUCUCCGAAUCGGAGAAUCUGAUCAAGAAGAGAAGCAAGAAGAGGAGCAUUCUUGAGGCUGCUGGUGCUGCUGCCCCAAUAGGAAUGUCGGUUGGCAAAAGUGGCAAAAGUAGCAAAAGAUGGGGAGAUGGGGUGGGUUUAGCUCAAAAAAUUGUGCUGUGCUUUUUCUCAACGCAUGGGGGGUGGGGGGGGGAUAGGGGAUUAGUUGUGUGCGUGCUGUGUAGUAGUAGUAAUUGUACUAGUAGAGGAAAAGGGAUGCUUCUACUUAUAUAUAUAAUAAUUCAAGAAGAGUGAGUCAUCUCUUUUACCACAAACUUUAAUUUUUUCCCUUUUUUUUUUUUGUUUUUGGGGUUUCUUGUGGGGAGGAGGGAAAGGAGUAUGGUGGUGUUGGAAGCGAGAGAGAGGAGUGAAGCAAAUUAAUGGUGGUGGAGUGGAAGGAAAAAUCAAUUGCAUUAAUUAAUUAAUUAAAAAUUAUUUUUUUUUUGCAAGAUUUGUAUUGUAUUUUUAUUUAUUAUUUUAAUGAAGUGGGGAAAGGGUUGAGCUGCGGCGUUUGUCCUUUAAAUUUGUUUGUUGUGUGUUCAUAAUUGAGCUACGUAACAUUGAUGGCGGGAGGAAAUUAAUUAAGAUUUUCUCUAAUAAACAUAAUUGGGUAUAAUUGUACGGAGACACCCCUCAAUUGUUAGCGAUUUUGAAAUAGAUCCUUACGCUUUUUUUUUCUUUUUUUUUUUUCACCCUUUAGGAGAGUGGAAAAGAUUUCUAGUAAAUUUGCAUAUUUAAAAUAAUAGAGUAAUUAAACUCAUAAAUAUUAAGCCUAGGAAAGGAAAAGAAAAUAUAGAAAACAUAUAAAACAAAAGUAAUUACUUACAGACUAUCCUAGAGCAAGUGGCAAAGUGCUUAAUGGUUGGUACCCGAGGUUUCAAAUUGGAAUAGCUAAGUUUAUUUCUAAAUUAAAUAAACGAAGUGGAUAGCAUGCUAUCUAUCUCUCUAAAAAAAAAAAGCUAUUCAGUAAGUUUCGUCUCUGCUACCGCACUAUCAUUACCUUAAUCACCAUGCAACGCGAUGAUAAGUCGAAUUUGGUGCCCAAAAGAGAUGGAAGAGGAGCUAUUUUUAGAUUUGUUAAAGUUAACAACUUUAUUAGUUGAUAAGAAAAAGUCAAAGAAAAAACUAAAACACAGUAAGACUCGAUUUGAAACUACGGAGAGAUUACAUUACAUAUUGUGAGAAAAUACAAUAUAAGAUUAUAUUAUUUCUGUAUGUAAUAUUGUUAUUCAUAUAUCGCAAUAAGUCAGUUACGAUAUAAUUUUUAUAAUUUUACUGAAAAAUAAAAAAAAAUAUUUUUAUAUGUUUUCGUUUCGGUACUAUUGUGCUAUUAGAAUUAGAAGGACCUCAAUACUAAUGAUUUUCUUACUAAAAAUAAUGGAGGAGGAAUCAUGUGUGUCUCAUUUAGUUAGUGCUUUUAAUUCAAACAUUCUUAGUUCUUCUUACGAAAAAUAAAUAAAUACAAAAAUUAUCCAGAGGUGCCACGUGGCUGCCGGACACUGCAUUUAUAGGUAUAGAUUAUUGUAGUUAUAGAUAUAGGUUCAAGGAGGAGAUCUUUAUAAAUAUGAAUUUAUUUCGAGUUAAAGUUUCCAUUCCCAAAGUGGAACGCACAACAACUUUUCCAACCCCUCACCUGCAUUACGUCAGAGAACCAAACACCAUGAUUCGUAGGAUACAAAAUGUCAAAAAAGAUAUCAAAAGAAAUGUGAAGGGAAAGAAAAAACGAAAAAAAAAAAAAAAAAAAAAGCACACCUACACACAAUGAUUACACUAGUGACACCAAACACCAGGACUAUGAUCCCAUCCAUAUUAUUUAAUAAAAUAUAUAUUAUUAUUUUUUGAUAGUUUAGAUGGUAGGGAGAAAUAUCUCGUAGAUACUUUUAUAAGUCUGGCAUAUUUAUACCUUAUUUAUAUCCAAUAUAAAGACGUCAUGAACAUACGUUUGGCAGAGACUAUAGCUCAUCUUAUUAAAAAAUAUAAAUUUUUCUUUUUUUUCAUGCAGAUGUAAUGUAAGAUGUAAAUAUUUUGACUUUUUGACUAUUGUUGAAAUAUAUUUUUUAUAUAUAAUAAUAUAUAUUUAUAUAUUAAUAAUAUUAUAUUUUAUUUGUGAUGUUUAUGUCGUAUUUGUAUCCUAAUUUUUCGAAAGCUGUCGGAUUGUUUUGACUGAAUCGUGUCGUGUUUCGUAUUUUGUAUUUGUAUCUGCGGCAUUUAGUUAGUGAGUAUUUUUUCAGUUGUUGAACCCUAGCCUCCGUUUGGUUGGGGGUUAAGGGGUGGAAUAACUCCUUAACCCUCAUUUUAUCCCCAAAUAUUUUUAAAAAUGGGUGGGGUUAGCUAAUCCCAUCUCAAAUGAGUUAUCCCGGAUUAGCUAACCCCACCUAACCCCACCAAAUCUCAAUCAAAUAUUAUUUUCUAUUUAUAAUAAUUUACUAUCCUUCUUAUCCCACCUAUUCCAACCAAAUACUAUUUUUUACUAUCCUGGACUAACUCCAAUUCCCAACCAAACACAAAAAUAUUCUAACCCCACCUUAACCCUAAAUUUAACAAUAUUUCUGGAAUAACUAAUUUUUUCUUAACCCUGCACCAAACGGUAAAAUUUUUCUCUUUAAAUUGAAAAUGUGCUCUACUGGCUAUUUAUUAAAGAGAGGACCAUACUGUGUGAAGUUGGUUGGGAAGUAAGGAAAGAUCUACUAUUAUUUAAGUGUCAAAUUUUAAAUAUAAUAAAUAAAUAAUUAGAUAUUAAUUCUGAAAUAAAAAUAUUUUAUUUAUUAAUAAAUCUCAAAAUAUUGUACAAACUAUAUAAUUUAAUAGAUGGAUUUCGACAUUAAAAUUAUUAGUCAUGUUUACCUUCCCGUGAUUUACAUCUUUUCACUGAUUAAAUACUACAACACAUAGGGGUGUAAACGAGCCGAACAUGAGCUGGCUCAUUAAAGUAUCGAGUUGAAAAAUUGCUCAUGUUCGGCUCGUUAAUAAACGAAUCGAACACGAGCUGGCUCACGAGCUGGCCAAUGAAUAAUAAGUUAAAAAGAUUAAAUUGAAUAUAUAUAAAAAAUAAAUUUAUAAAAUUUUAUCCAUUAGACUUUGAUCUAACAGUUGAAACUUUACAUAUAAAUAAGUCUUUUUAUAAUUAAGCUCGCCUUUAUAUUUUUAUUUUGCUAAAAAUUAAAUAAUAAAAAUAUAUAUUAUAUAUAUAAUUAUUAUUUAUAUAUAAAUAUAAAUUAAAUAAAUUAUAUAAAUAUAAAAUAUAUGUAUUCGAGCUGUUAUCGAGUCGAACACGAGCGAACUGGAUUGCCACCUCUAACAACACAUGCUAAUUUAUAAAAUAUUACAAAAUUUAUUUAUAAAUAUAGUAUUAAUUUUUAUUCAUAUAUUUAUUUAUUUAUUUGUCAAUUGUAAUGAAUGGAAAUUUUCUCCAAGUGGAAAGUGAUACGCACGGUACGAUACAUUGUAUACACCGUGGCAUCACCAUCACAAAGUAAUUGUAAGUUAGCAAAACUUUUACUUCGUUGCUCACCAUUUGAACAUCAAAAUCUAGCUUGGAAAAAAGUGAACAAUAUGAUUAAUGAUUAAAAAAUUAAGUAAAAAGAAAAUUUUGUUGUCAUUUUUUUAUCGAGAUUUAAGUCUGCAAAUUCAAUCCGACGGAUAUAGUUUUGUCACAUAUAUUAAAGAUCUUAAAUACAUGAAAAUAUGAAUACGCUAAUACAUCACCUAUGCCGAUCAUCGAUCGCAGACUCUUUGUGGCAAAAUAAAAGCAUUAAUUUCACACAGAAUUGCUUACAAAUAAAAGCAUUUCACAAGCAUAACAAUUAUAGUGUUUAGAUUCAUAAAUUUAAUUCUAAAAGAGCCACGUAAACAUAUCGACUACUGCAGUUAAAACUACUCUUAUUUAUUAUUUCUCAUUACUGUAGCCAAAGAUUUAAAUGUUUAAAAAAUAAUUAUUAAUAUUAGUGUGCUGAAUUAUUAUAUUUUGUAUCAGAAUCGAACAUCAGAUCGUCGAUAACGAUCAAACGUCGUAUGCGUCCCCGUUGAUUUGGCGAGAACGUCAGGGUCUUAUACGGAGAACUUAAGGUAUUGUUUGAUUCGGGGAUAAGCAAAAAGUGGUUAUUCUAGGGAUAGGUAUAAAUUAAGGUAUAAGCGGGGAUUAGAUCAAUUUUGUGUUUGGAUGAAAAUUGAGUUAUUCCUGAAAAUAAGAAAAAUAGCGUUUGGUUAGGUAAGAUGGAAUAAGAAGGAUAGUGGGUAGUUAUAAAUAAAAAAUAAUGAUAUUACCCUCUCUUUAUAUUUGAAUUUAAAUUUUUAAAUUUUAAAUUUUAAAUUUAUGUUUUUAAUUUAAAUUUUUAACUUUUAAAUUUCAAAAUUUUAAAUGAAAAUUUAAAUUUUAAAUUUCAAACUUUAAAUUUAAGAUCAAAUUUAAAUUUGAAAAAUAUAAAAUAUAAAAUAUUAAAAAUUUAAAAUAUCAAAAUUUAAAUUUAAAAUUUAAAAUUUGGAAUUUAGAAUUAUGAACUUUAAUUUUGAGAUUACAAAUUUUAAAUUUUAAAAAUUUAAAUUUUAAAUUUAAAUAUUUAUAUUUUAAAUUUUUUAAAUAAGAAUAGGGUGGGAACAAUUAAUAAAAAUAAUUUAUUAUAAUAAAAUUAUAAAUUUGAUAAAAAUAAAUAUUUUAAUAAAUUUAUAAAUUUUUUAUUAUUAAUAAAUUUAUAAUUUUUUUAAAAUUUCUACUUAAACUUAAAUUUAAUAAAAAUAAUUUAUUAUAAUAUUUAAAUAUAAUUUAUUAUAAAAUUUAUUAUAAUAUUUAAAUAUAAAUAAUAUUAUUAAUAUAGUACAAUUAAUAAUUUUAUAACAAAAAAAUGUAUUAUAAUAUAUAACAUAUUAUAUUUAUAUAAUUUAGUUUUAAUUCAAUUCAUAAUUUUAAUUAAGUUUGAAAUUAAAUAUUGGAAUAGCACUAUUCCAUCAAAAUGGUGGAAUAGUAAAUUCUAUGCUAUUGCGGAAUAGUCGGAAAUAGUAAGAUUUGACCGGGAUAAAAUAUUCCGGCCAAAAAUUAUUUUGUUUGGCGGAAUAGCAGGGAUAACUUCCGUUAUCCCUGCUUAUACCGCCAACCAAACGGAGCCUUAAGCCCUUGUUUGGUUGGGGGUUAAGGGGUGGAAUAACUCCUUAACCCUCAUUUUAUCCCCAAACACCCCAAAAAAUAAGUGGGGUUAGCUAACCCACCUAACCCCAUCAAACUCCAACCAAACACUAUAUUCUAUUCAUAAUAACCCACUAUCUUUUUUAUCACACCUACACAAACCAAUCAUUAUCCUUCUUUAUCAAUCAUUAUCUUUUUAUCCCACCUACCCAAUCAAACACUAUUUUUUAUUAUUCUAGACUAACUCCAACCCCCAACCAAACACAAAAAAAUUUUAAUCCCACUUUAAUCCUGAAUUUAACUCUGUCCCUAGAAUAGCUAUUUUUUUUUUAACCCCGAAUCAAACGGAGGCUAAGUGUCUGCCAUGGAUAAGCUAUAAGUAGUAGCUCCUUGAGUGUGGUUUUUGCAUUGUGUGGUACACGUGUAUUGCCGUGUGAGACUAGUUUGCGUGGAAUGGGGGAUGUUUUUGGCACCCGCGUGCCGAGGCCUCCACGUUGUACGCCCUUGUCGACUUGUUUUUCUUGGUCUCUUAUCGUACGUCACGUGGACAUGAGUCACAUGAAGUAGGAUCCAACAAAGGUCAAAAAAAUAAAAAUAAAAAUAAAAUGCAAAAUAUUAAAUUAAAUAAAUAAAAAUAAAAUACAAAGUAUUAAAUUAAAUAAAUUAUGAUAGUGAGAAAGGAAAAGGAGAACUCGGUUCUUGGUGUGCAGGGAUUGGGUGCGCCAACUCCGUUACGAUUAUGAGUGCGUCCAAAAAGUAUUCAAACGUGUGCACACUUCAUUUAGGUUUAAGGUGUAUUUGGUUUGAUGUAAAAGAGGAUGAAAAAAAAAUUUUCAGCGGAAAUAUAGCUUGCGGCUCGUUUGGAUCAACGUAAAAAUUUUUUCUGUAUAAAAUAGUUUUACAUAUUUGGAUGAAAAUUCUCUCUUUUAUUUUUCGAAAAAAAUAAUUUUUUCUUCAUAGUUUUACGUGAAACCAAACACACUCUCAGUUUGACAUUAAGAUCCAUCUGUUAGAUAAAACGGAGUUAGGGGUAAAAGUAUAUAGGGAUAUGUUUCUGUGUUCUCCGAUCGGACCGCAGAAAAUAUAUCAUAAUCGACUUAUCACGAUAUGUGGAACAAAAUAUGGUAUUUUUUUUAUCGUACUUUCUCACUGCACUUAACGUAAUUUUUCCGCAAUCUCAAAGGAAACCUUAGUCCCAUUCUAUUUUCCAUUUUGAUUUUGACGUGGACUCGAGAAAGCAAAAGAAACAAACGAAUGCACCGCUUACACAUAUUCGUUUAAAAUUUAGAUUGAAGUAGUUGUUUAGAUAAAUUACAGUUUAGAUUAAAAUUACUGUUUUUUCUUUUUUGUUUUUUUCUAUGUCGUGGUAUUGAAGUUUUUUUAAUUUUAUUGUUUGUUUGGCAGAAUAUGAAUGACAUAAAAAUUAAAUUUUUUAUUCUGGGUUGAAGUCAAUUACAAUAUUAUGGAGAGCUUGAGCACAUUUGUUUAAAAAUUCAAAUUGAAGAAGAUUUUUAGAUAAAUUAGAAUUUAAAUUUAAAUUACUUUUAUUAACUUAGCUAGAAAUAUGAAUCAACUAGGAUUCGAACAUGGGUCUCGGAUACCAACUACCAAACCCUUUGCCACUUAGGACCGUCAGUAUUAUUAUUAUUAUUAUUAUUAUUAUUGCAACAAAUAUUUUGCAUGAAUUGUACAUUUGAUUUAUUUUAUUAAUAUAUUUAUAUUAUUAAAUAUCUAACUAAAGAUAAUAUGAUAAAUACAUUGUCGCUAUCUAGGAUACUACUCUAGUGUUAUGUUAGUGCACGCAUAGAAAUAGAUGAAUUUAUAAAUAAUAAAAUGAAAAGGGUCCACCACUUAUUAUUCUACUCAUACAAUAAUUGUAGUGAGACAAAAAUAAAUAGACCAUGUAUCAUUUUUGCAUCUAUAGGUCUUGAUAUGGGCCCAAACCACUUUGUAGUUUAAGGGGUGUUUAGAUUCACGUAAUCACGUAAUCCUCGUAUAAUAGUAAACCAAAUUUAGUAAAAAUAAAACAUAUUAGUUUUGUCAUCGAUCGGGACGCACCAAGAAGAUUCGUUGUAGGUUGUUGUGAGCUUAGCUCCUGAAAAUAGCCUUUUUCUUAAAGAGUUCUAAAAUCAUCUUUUGUCGAAAAAAUAAACAAUAUAGCCUAAUAAGGCUAUUAUUAUUGGAUUAUUUCUAAUCUGAUCAAUUAGCAAGGUAUAACAAGGUUUUAGAGCCACUUCUACACCCAUUAUGUUGCAAGAUGAUUUAUGUUGAAUUCCCGAAUAUGCAAUUGGUUGCCACUUCUGUUAAUUCACGUGAACAACACGUCUGAUCUCCAUAAUGUACGUAAAUAAGAGUGCUAAGAAUAUUCAUAAUUAUUUAAAAUUAGAUCGAUUUUUUAAGUAGUAUUGUAUUAGAGUUGGACCUAAGCUCCACGACAUUCUAUGGUCAACAACGAAAUUAAUAUUUAUAUUCUAAACUUUGGUUGCAGUCAAAUUACAAUUACGUCAAUCCAAAUGCACGCCCCUUAUUUUGUGAGGCCAUACUUUUGCCGCGCAUUGGGGCAUUGCUUUGAGGCCUCAUGCAUUGUUUAUAAGGCUUGGACCAACCAUAUGACUAAGGUUAAUUAGUUAAAUUUAGGCCCAGUACAAUAGCAUCGAUCCACUGGAUCUAAGGGUUUAUAAAAAUUCUCUAAGUUUUAAGUACUUAAAAAAAAUUGAUAUGACGAAACGAGAGAUCCGAGAGCUUUUGGAAGGAUAAACUGUAAAAUUGACACCUAUAUAAAGUAAGUGUACAGAUAGUAUUGCUUUUUAAAAUCUUAGAAUAAGUUUAUUUUUCCGGAAUCGGAAGAGACCGGAGCUUUCCCAUUCUGACCGUGCACCAGAUCUUAACUUUACCCGCUACAAGGGACGAAAUCGCGAUUCGUCAUAGUGUAGUUUUGUAAGUUCUCUCACUAUUUGAUGAAGAGGACGCGUCACCGUACAAUGUCGUGGAGCAGCUACCGUUUGAUUUCACUUAAGUUGGAUGAUCCCGACCGCACAUCUUCUUUAACUACUUUAACUGCCAAUGUCCUCCGACUACACUUUUUUUUUUCAACUUAUUUACACUUUUGCCACCCACCCUAGCUAUGUAGAGGAUUAAUUUCUCCGUUGUAUCCGAUACCUAUUUCUCAGUGUGGAUGAACUGGAUAUACCAAGUGACACCCUUGGAGACGUUCGUAGUAUUUGGACCAAAUUAGCCGCCUUUUUGUUUGAAUCGUCGCGAACGCGAGAACUAACCCUUCUGGCUGCGAUCUGGUGGGUGGUCUGGAGGGGUAGAAACAACUCCGUUUUCCAGACAAUUCCGCCUGAUGCGAGUCGCUCUCUCGAACGUAUUAAACUCUUUUGACCAACUGGACCGUGCUGACCUGAAGCGACACUAGACUUACUCCUUUUUUUCUAACCUUCCCCUCUCACCUCCUUUCCCCUUUUUGGCCUUUUGUCUGUUAUUUUUGCAUUUUCGGAGACCUAAGCUGCUUCCAUCUCUGUACGCUUAGUUCAUUUUACUUAAUGAAUGAAGCUGGUAACUUGCUACCUUAUUUCUCAAAAAAAUAGAGACCGAGUUGAAAAUAACCUUUAGUUGAAUAAAAGUUUAGAUUAAAAUUAGGUUUAAUUAUAUAUAAAAACUCCUGCAAGUCGCUCCAUAUCUUAAACAUCCCCAUACAGAAAAAACUUAAACAAUGUUUCACCUGCAAUUAGCCCGGUGCCUCAUUAUUAUUUAUUUUAUUAUUAUUAUUAUUUCGAAUUUGAGAUUUGAAAUAAAAAAUCUAUAAUUGAACUGCAAAUUCGAAUCCAAAAUCUGAAUUUAGAGUUAAAGCUAAAUCCAAAUUUUGAAUUUGAAUUUGAAAUUAUUAAAUCUUCAUUAGAAAUUGAAAUCUGAAUUGAAAAAAAAUCAUUCAAUCUCCUCUUACAGUAUCUUCCAUGAGGAGCUCCCUAUAGAUUUUUAGUUUGCUCUAGGUGGCCCAGAGUAUUUCUCAAAACCAUAUCAAAAGAACCUGUUAAAAAAAAAAAAAGAAGGAAAAAAGACCUCUGUGAUGUUGCAAAUUGGUACUUCUUAUUUCAUAAAGUACACAAAUUCAAUCAUUGUAUUAUACACUUUAAAUUGUAUGCACAUAUCUAGAAAAUACACUUUGCUCUCGCUGUUUGGUAACUUGAUCACAAGCAUGCCACUUCAACCGCGAGGCUCUUCGUGACCCCUCUACACGGGUCUCCGAACAUCUCAGUCGACACUCUGAUGCUACAACUCCUCGCUCCGAUACAAGCCUACAAAGAUAUUUCACAAAUCAAAAUUAAGAACAAAGAAUUUUCUUUUAUUCACCAAACGCCUAACUAGCGCUGCAGAUACAAUACAGAUAUGUCAUUUGUGUACCUCUUGAACAACGGUAAGGGCAGUAGAACUAUUGCAUUUGCCGUGGCUAUAGCUUCCACAUGCGCCAUGCGGGGUCCCGAAGCUUGCAAACUUGAUUUUGGAGAUGAGUUGGUUCGCGCUUGGGCACUCCAAUCGGAGCAUCGGCCCAGACUUCCCCCUCUUUUGUGUAGUGAUAAAAGCAUCUAGUGGGGCUGGAUGUAGCUCUGAAACAUGUGCACACAAACUCCCAAUCUCCCUAACCGCGAAAGACAUUUUAGUCGGGUCCCCGCCAACCUCCUCAAAAAGAACCAAAUCGUUGCUACCCCAUCGGAGAAACGACCGAGGAACAUGAUACCUGUUUAUAUAUGUUUCGUUCACAUAUAUAUUUAAUGUGAAAUUGAAAUCCAGGUUAAAGUUACAGAGAAUAAAUUUGUGAUAGACACUAAAAACAAACAAAUGGUAGAAAUUCUUACAGAAUUUGAGAUGGUUUCCCACAGUUCUUGAGGCAUUUGUCAGAACUGAAGGAUCCUUUAUAGCUGCAAAAGGUGACACAACCAUUCUGCGGAGCUUGGUAAGUGGGCCAAAACCGGCCGAUACUCUGCCCGUUCACCCACCCCUCUCCUUUCCCCAUGCCCGUAAAGUUUAUCGCGAUUGGGCCGUCGCCCUCUGGUGCAGCAAAUUUUGUCUGCACCAUUAAAAGAACGCGAUGAGUUCGUCGACUAUGUAUCAUAAUCUUGUUAGUCUAGAGUAUAAAAUAAGUUUAACCAACAAAUGCGAGAGGACGGUGGAAACGUCAAACUCUGACCUUGUACCAUAUCAGAGGUUGAUUCGUCGGCAAGGUAGAAUCUGAGACCCAUUCAGAAGAAUCAUCAGAAGUCUCAUAUAGCCGCGAGUCUUCCCCUUUAAGUCCAAUCUGCAUAAGUAAAAGUAAACCGUAAAUUCAAGAAUAAUCUUAACAUUGGUGAGCUGAAUAUUACGAAAUUAUUCGCGUAAAUAACCAAUUUAGUUCAGGAACAAGGUUAUGGAACUGUUAUUGACGUACUAUUGAACAACCUGGUAUGUCCACGGUUUUGAAGAUAAAUCUAAUGUGCCAUUUGGUCCGUUCAGCUUUACUGGACCGGUAACUCCGGCACCCCAUAAAUCAAAGAAUGGGCCAUAAUCCUGGAAAUAUAAAGAAUGAACAAAAUCAAAGAGAUGAUUAGAUUCACAAUGAUCCACUUACAUAAAUGAUAUACGUGAAAAAUAAAUACUGGGAAAAAAAAAAAGAUUCCUCCAAAAGCAGUGGAAAGAACCUGUAGACCAACAGUUGCGCUUAAAAGAUCUAUAGCGUUCUUUCCUGGGGCGAGCAUAAUAAGCUUCUGCAGUGAAAAUGAUGCAUUGUAACUGUUUCCCAUCCCACUAGCUGAAUAAAUGUUAUAACAUGAAUAUUUUAGAUGCUAAAGUUCAAACAAUAAAACGCAAACUAUAUUUAGUUUUUUGUCUCAGAUUCAGUUUAUUCAGUUCAACAUGAAAUGCAUUACCUGACAAUUUUCCAUUGACAAAAACGCGAAGGACGUGGCCAAGUGAUUUCACAAGGAGAUUAGAUUGAGUUCCAUUUAAAAGAAACGGCUCAUCGCCGGUGAUCUCAAUGCUGCGAGAAGACCAUUAAAACCCGGUGAACAGCUAAUGUUAAUUCGAGGAUAAGCAUACCAUGUAAACAAGGCUAUGAGACAAGAAAACUACUAAAGAAGAAUCGUCUUCACCUUGUUGAAUACCAUAGAUAAUCACUAGCAUCUGCAGUAGUAUUUAUUUGCUCUAGCAAUCCAGUUUUUGUGAAGGCAUCGGCCUUUGAGAUACCGACAGGUUCUAUUGCAUAGCUCCAUUGUGAUUGUGGCAUCUCAGAGGAAUCAAGAGAAUCAUCUGAGGUUUGAUUGUAGGAAUUUAGAUGCCUCAUCUCUGUGGAAGAGGUUUGGGAGUUUAUCUGCAGAAAAUCACCUUUUACUAGAUCAAGAUGUGAAAUAUUACCUUUUAUGAUGUCAUGAAUAUAAAAGUUUCUAGAGAAAUUUUUUUGAGAAUACAGACAUGUACAAAUGCUCAAUAAUAAGAACAAAGUAUACGACUAUCUUGUAUUCUCAGACCUCCUGCAUUGAUACAAUGUUGAAGAAUUCGAAACAGACCAUUUUCCUUCGAAAAGAUAAGCCACCGGAGAACAUUGUUUUUAUAAUUUGUAUGCAACAGAGACAUCCGAACCGAAUUGGCUAAAGAAUAUAGCAUAAGUGCAUAACACAAGGUAUCGUUUUUGAACCGGAAGUAUGAAAAAUCCGUUAAUUACUUCGAUAGACAAACCUGAGCGGUAUUGAAUACAACAUUCCGGCAGUCGGAUAAGAUGCUCACGGACCACGCAGGUAGAUGAUACAACUUCCCAUUAAAAGUAACUGUUGCAUCAUAUUGGUUGUCUCUAUUUGCAAGAAAUGCUGCACAAGCCCCUGCUGUCUUAUACACAGUGGCCUAAAGAAGAAAAUAGAAUCAGAAAAAAAAUAACUUUUAUGUUCAGAAAUGCACCAAUAAAAAAAUAAACACAAAGACUAGGAUUAUGUAUGUUGUAAAACAAGACAAUAAGGCACAAAUUUCCUGCCUAUAUUGUUGUAGUAUUUUGGUCCGUAAUGAUACUCAGAACGAAAAUAUAGUGAAAAUAUAAAAUGUACUAAAUCGUGCAAAAUAUGAAAUAUUUCAUUUUAAGUCCUUCACUAUAAAGCAUCUGCAUAGUGUAAAUUUGAAGCAGCCAAAGAUAACUAUAAUAGCACAUGAGGGGUACAAAUUGUACAGCCAUUGUUGCAAAAUAUGAAAUUUCGUUCAAAUUAUGCAAGAAAGGACAGUAAAAAACAGCAUUAGUUACCUCCAGGUUUGGACCAAGAGAAGAACUAGUUGGAUCAGUUGCGACCAACGCAGCUUCACAAAGCUUUAUUGCUUUGUGUAGAUCUCGCAAGUGACCCCACUUUGGCUGCCUAAUGAACCCUGCAAUCGAUUUACGAAGAAAGUAAAAUCAACUGAGACGCAAAACCUUUCUGAAAAGUGUAUGACUUACAGUACCAACAAGAAAUAUAAGAUAACAAGCUUACCAUACUCGUCUAUCGGAGCAUCAUAGUCAUAACUCGUCGCAAUAAACGGUCCCCCCGAACUGUGGCCAAAAUUGGUUCCGCCGUGGUACUGACGAACAGCGGAGUACAUAUAUAACGAACAGGAAAAUAAGAAGUUAUCAGAAUACAACAAGGUGUAAAAAUCCUAACAAAGCAAGUUCUACAUACUAUUAACAACCGACUCAGAGGUGAUACCACGUAGUAGUUUUGGAAUGUACCACCACGUUGAAAGAAUCGAGCAACAGCAUACGCAAUGUCUUCGACUGGUCUAUAUGGCACCGCACCGCCAAAAGGAAGAAACCUAUUUAAGCAAAAUAUUAUUAUAAACAACCUUGCCAAUCGUAUAUAUGAAUAAUGUGCCACUAGAGAUCCAUUGUUCGAAGAGAAUUGUUCGAUCGAUUAUAGUUGAUUUGCAUCAAACUUAUGUCGAUUGGCAUCCUAAAUAAUACAUAAAAAGUUAUGCAGAUCAGGCAGAGAAGAAUGUAACACCCCUUACCAUCCGGUCCAGUUUUCCGUCCACAUCUUUGGCUUAUUCUUGGAGUUUGGAGCGAACUGGUCGCAGUAGUAAUCAUUGCAAGUGUUGAUCUGCGGAGUUUGCAUGGUGAUAGUCACAGAUAACAUCAACGUAUGAACUCAAUGCACCAUCAAUAACAAUUGCAAAUAGACAAAGAUAGUAAACAAUUUUGAUCAAACUAGUGAAUAAGCUCAGGACAAAGUUCAUCCUUCUAAAAGCAAAGAUAUGAUCAAACAUGAAACACCUACAACAGGGUCGGGAGCAUCGACUUGCUGGCCCAUCACCCAGGGAACGCCGGUGUCGAGUGACACGGCCAUCGACGCCGCCCAGCUGACGUACGACUUCGCCGCAGGUCCAUAAGCCCAAUCGACGUUUCCGUAUUCAUUUUCGAUCUAAAACCAUGUUGUGGACACGCAAAAACAUUAUUUACAUCUGGAAAGCAACAGCAUGAGAUGUUCAACGAAGAUGCGAGCUUUGAAAAGUAACCAAACCUGGGACAAGAUGAUGGGUCCGCCUUGCGAUGCAUAAAGGUUCUCCUGCUUCAUCAUAUCGACGAUCUUUGCCGUGAAUCUUUGCAUCUCCGCCUAGAAACAAAGAAGACCCAAAUAAGCUAAGAAUUUCUUUUUCUUUUUUUUUUAAAAUUGUAAAACACAGGGUUAGAAUUAAAUAAAUGAACCUUGAAAGGCUCGUUGUCGGUUCUAAACUUGAUACCAGGGAUGAAAUGUAGCCUAACUGGGAAUCCCCUGCACCAAAUUAUAAACAAAUUAGAGAUAACAAAUUCACACACUAGCUAAAAGGGAGAAAAAUAAAAAAAGAAGACAUGCAAAAUUAUCAACUUGGGCGAGAAAUUUAAGCCCACCCAUAAUUCCACUCGGCACCGAUAUAUGGGCCAAUGCGGAGAUGAACAUAGAGUCCGGCCUCCGCGACCGUCUUCACGAACUUCACCAGGUCCUUUCUCCCCUCAAAAUCAUACUAUACUCAUCCCGAAUUUGAUCAGAAUGUAAACUACUUUAAGAAGAGGAUUAACAUAACCGAAAAAUAGGCUCUAUAAUUAACUGGAAUCAUGCCUGGUUUCUAACAGGUUCAUGGAGAUUCCAGAAAACGUAAGUCUCAAUAACGUCGAGCCCGCCGUCCUUCGACUUCUGUAUCAGGUCCCGCCACAUCUGCGUCCAACCAAUUUCCCCGUUACUGACAGUCUCUAAAGUAAGUGGCAAAAAUUUGGUAGUUGGUACCCAAGGUCUCAACUCUUAAAUUCGAAUUUUAGUUGAUUUAUAUUUUUAGCUAAGUUUAUUUAUAAAUAAAAUAAACGAAACAGAUAGCAUGUUAUCUAUCUCUAAAAAAAUAAAAAAAAAAACCAAUUUUCCCCUUCCACCAUUAGCAACUAUCAGUUCUCAAUAGUGAAAGUUAGUUCUUCUAUGUAUAAGAAGGACAAAGAGAGCACUAUUAAAACCAUUCCUGAGCCGCUUUCUAGUCCUCUCAAUUUUGAAAGGUUGCGGGUUCAAUUCUCCAUAUACACUACUUAGGAGUAGUUUGGUUCGAUAUAGUUAUAAAAAUAGUAUAGUUUGGAAGUAUAUACAGUUUCAAAUGGUGCAGUCAUAAUUAUGCUUAGUCUGUUUGAUUUUAUAUAGUUACAACUAUUGUGGUUAUAUUUUUUUCUGUUUGAUAAGCUGCAGUCGAGAUUUAUAUUUGUAAAUUCCGUCAAUUUUUAGAUAGAAAGGUGAGAUUACCUCUUCUGAACAUAACAUAGUUUUUUAAUUAUUAAUUAAGGCUUUUAUAUUUAUAUAUUAUAAAAUUAUGCAUGAAUUUAAUGAAUUUUAAAUGAAAACAUAUUAUAGAUUUGGUUAAAAAAAG